AACUUUUGAGUCAUACAUGUUAUUUAUGGGAAGAUGACUUGGAAAUUGAGAAGCGGACAGAAGCUAGAGAUGUAGUUCUGUCUGCUAGAUUAAGUUGGUUAAGGCCCGAUUCAUUGUCUUAACCUUUGAUCAAGUGAUAAGCAUCUUAUCACUUACUGGGUAUGGGACCAGUAAAGCCCAGUAGGUUAGUAAACUCUCUAAUCGGGAAUACUUCGUACCCGCGCUUGACGUGCUGGAGAUUGGCAGGGGUGUAGCCUGAAACUCACAUGGUGAUCGGGCCAGACGUGGGGUCCCAUGUGGGGGUGCGUCCCUGGGUCCGGGUAGUUUUAUUCCCAAUCAUUGAUUUUGCUAAUCGAAAGGUCGUUAUGUACGACCUGGACAGUCGUAUAAAACUGGUGAUCAGGGUACUCUCCUGCAGGAUGUAACAUGAUCCGGAUUGCCGCAAUUCUCAGUUAUGAAUGCACUUGAUCACUGUUGAGCAUCGUAGUAUAAAUUCAUGAAUGACAUACCUUUCAGAUAAUGAGUGAUGUAUGGCUUAAAUACCUUAUUGUUGUAUUUACUCUUUUCUCAUCAUCUAGAAUGGUUAGGUAAUAACUUAACCCAAAUAAAAGAUAAAACUAAGGCAUCACUUGUAGUAAGCAAUUCGGCAAAAAAAAUUGUAUUAGCCAAGUACACCAAAAAGCUAGCAUAUACUUCCAAAGAAAGCUAUUAUAUUGGUUAGUCGGGUAAGACUUGCUGAGUACCCCGUACUCAGGGUUAUCCCUUGUGGCUAUCUUUCAGAAGCACCGCAGGAGUGUACCGAGGAGGAAGCCCCGAAGCCCUAGGGUAUUGUUAUGAGUCUCACAAUACCCUUAAGAAGAAGUUUUUAAAUGCUCAUCUCCUCCUGAACCGUUUAUGUUUUAAGUCUUAGAACUUCGUCUAACACUGCACUGUCAAGUUUGCUUCAAUCUAUGUUCUGUAAUAACUCGUACCUAUUAUAUGUAUGUAAAAAUGUAAUAUUUGUUGAUGCUAUCCCAUCGCAGAUACUAUCCUGAUGUAUGGCUAUGAAACACAACGUGGAUCUUUCGAGGAGUCCUAGGGACACUCAACGGACGACCGGACUUAUACUGUUUUAAGUGCGUUUCGGAUAAUUGCUGCGUCAGCAGCAAUUAUGCGCAUUUAAACCAGUUUAAGUUGGACGAUUCCGCCACAUUACGAUACCAUACUGCAUCCGGGCUCGUAUGCGAUCCCCCACAGAGGACCACCCCGGAACUCUGAAGCACUCCCAUCGGGGCCAAUUGGGGGCAAAAGUAAAUUAGGGGGCACAAGGUCAGCACCACUCCCCCCUACACUGAUACUCUAUCAUACGGUAGGUAUGGUACCACACUUGCCAGUCUCGACCCGGGCCUAGACCUAUAGUUCGGUGAGUAGUGUGCACGUUUAACAUAUUCCCAUGAAGCAUGGCAAUCCACUCGGCUUUAGACCGGGGUGAGCUUCUAACUCCCAAAAGCGUCUCCACGACGUGAUCCGCAACUGCACCCAUAAUAGGUAUCGCCACCAACUCUCCUCAACUGUGUACUCACAACAAGUACCAAAAAGGGAACGCCCGAGAGCGGACCCCAAGCCCCCAAUGCAAAGAUUGGGUUGUGUAAAGCUCACCCCCGUCAAGUAUUCCAAAAACACCUUCUCCUACCAGCUUUAACCCCACACACGCCAAGAAUCCUAAUCACAAUAUCCCAUACUCAUGCAAGCAUCGCACAUCGCAUCUAUAAGUAGUAUAGUAGUAGGUCAAACAAGGAUAUAAAGCAUAAAGAAGGCUAUGCAUGGUUCAUCAUCAUCAUGCGAGGAAUAAAGUGCUAGCAUACUACUUAGCAAUGCAUAAUGGGAAUUCAAAUCGAAUGGGCAUGAACCUAAGUAGUCUUCCUCCUCAUAGUAGUCCUCGAACGGCUCUGGCUCCGGGUUUAGCCCCAAAUCUCCGGCAGCUCCAAUUUACGCAAUUACCAUAAUUACUAGGAUCUAAUUGCAAAGUAAACCACAAAGAGAUCCAUAGACGAACCAAACAAGAAUAAAGCCUAGUCUAAUGCGUGCUGCAUGAUUUUAGAAAAUUAUGAAACUAGUUUCAUUAUUUUUGGAAUUAGAAUGAAUUAGUUAUGAAAUUUUGAAGUUGAAAACAUUUUUUAGAAUUUGAUAUAAUAGGUGAAAAUAGGAAAUAAAGGAGUUAGCAGUUAACUGGCUGUAGGUCAGAUGCAGUCUGAAUGUAAGCUGCCACAAAGGGUUUACAGGUAGCUUUGGCGGUCUAAAGGCUGGUGGUUAAGCUGAUGUGGAUAGUUUAUGGUUUCUAGGGAUAAAACCCUGAUGUUCCGACUUUGGAGAACCCGAGGUUCCGAUUUGAAACAGGAAGUUCUGGCUUAGGAUAAACGGAUGUUCUGAUUUUAGCUCUCUUGGGGAGGUCUCUCGGGAAAGACUCUGGACGGUCCUGGGAAGAUGUGGUUCACAACUCGUGGGUUUGGAGUUCGUUUGGUUAGGUCUUUCUAUUGUUCCUCGAGCUCUUGCAGGUUGACUGAUCAAAAUCGGAAGUUCUGGUUUGGAAAACUGAAAGCUUCGGUUUUCCACGGGGUUCGGCUGUGGUGAGGUUUGCACGCGCGCGAGCGCGCGGCCAAGGCCACACCUACGACACGGCCAUGUCGUGUGCGCGGGCACCUGGGCUUUCCAGUGCGCACGGCUGCAGGUGUGGCGGAACCGCCCAACUUAAGCAAGUUUAAGUGCGCCUAAUCGCUGUCGGAACAGCAAUUAUCCGAAACGCACCUAAAACAGCAUAAGUCCGGUAGUCCGUCGAGUGUCCCUAGGACUCCUCGAAGGAUCCACGACGUGUCUCAUAGCCAUACAUCAGGAUAAUAUUUGCGAUGGGAUAAUAUCAACAAACAUUACAUUUUUACAUACAUAUAAAAGGUGCGAGUUAUUACAGAACAUAGAUUGAAACAAGCUUAACAGUGUAGUGUUAGACAGAGUUCUAAGAUUUAAAUAUAAACAGUUCAGGAGAAGAUGCGCAGGUAAAACUUUUUCUCUAGGGUAUUGUGAGACUCAGGUCAAUACCCUAGGGCUUCGGGGUCUCCUCCUCUGUAGACUCCUGUGGAGCUUCUGAAAGAUAGCCACAAGGGGAAAACCCUGAGUACGGGGUACUCAGCAAGUCUUACCCGACUAACCAAUAUAAUAGUUCUCUUGGGAUGUAUAUGAUAGCUUUUUGGUGUACUUGGCUGACGCAACUUUUGCCAAAAAGCUUACUACAAGUGAUGCCUUAGUUUUAUCUUUUAAUUGGGUUAAGUCAUUUACCUAACCAUUCUAAAUGAUGAGCAGAAAGUAAAAACAACCAUAGAUGUUAAGUCAUACAUCAAACCUCAACCAAAGAUAUAUAUAUAUUGCAUGAAUUGAUACUACGAUGCUCAACAGUGAUCAAGUGCAUUCAUAACCGAGAAUUGCGGUGAUCCGGACCCAUUUACAUCCUGCAGGAGAGUACCCUGAUCACCAGCUUUAUACGACUGUCCAGGUCGUAUCUAACAACCUCUCGAUUAGCAAAAUCAAUGAUUAGGAAUACGACUACCCGGACCCAGGGAUGCACCCCCACAUGGGACCCCACGUCUGGCCCGAUCACCAUGUGAGUUUCAGGCUACACCCCUGCCAAUCUCCAGCACGUCAAGCGCGGGUACGAAGUAUUCCUGAUCAUAGAGUUUACAAACCUACUGGGCUUUACUGGUCCCAUACCCAGUAAGUGAUCAGAUGCUUAUCACUUGAUCAAAGGUUAAGACAACGAAUCGGGCCUUAACCAAAUUAAUCUAGCAGACAGAACUGCAUCUUUAGUUUCUGUCCGCUUUCAACUUUCCAAGUUAUCUUCCAUAAGCAACAUGUAUGACUCAAAAGUUUUCCUUAAGGUUGGUAAACCAAGCAUUUAAGCAACUAAGCAUUUCUAGACUUGGGUUAUCUUCUAAGGUUUGAACAAGUGGCAAAGAUGUCCUUAAAACAAGGUAUGAUCAUACACAAGAAAUAGGUUUCAAGCAACUCCUAGACUUAGUGCAUACAUAAAGCAAAUAACCAAUAAUUAGACACAUGAAAUAACGACUCCAAAAUAAAUAGGUAUAAAUGCACCGGGGCUUGCCUUGUUCGCUUAAAAAGUUAGUAUUCUCUGACGGGUUGGCUUCACAAGGGACUAACUCAAAGACUUCUUCGAACUCCGAAGGUCCUUCUAAAAAUUCCAAAUACUCUCCUUCUGGUGCUUCGGGAUCUAUAGCAUAAUACAUGCAGGGUUAGAAAUGCAAAAUUUUGAAUAAAAGACUAUACAACUCUCCUUCAUGAGAAAGUUGCAAGCCAACAAGGACUAUACAACCUAUCAUGAUAAAGUUGCAAGCCAACACACAAAAACCCAAAAGAUUAACCCAUAAUUUUAUUUUUCUUACUUAACCCCCUUAAGGCUUUUUCUUUUAUUUUUAGAAAAAGUUAUAAUUAUUUUCUAACUUGGAAACCUAAUUUCCUAUGAGUUAAGAAUAAUUUGUGAUUAAGAAAAUGUUAUUCCUAUUUUAUACAUUUUAUAAAUAUUAAGUAUUUAUUUAAUUACCUUAAAAAGAAGGCAUUAAAUAAAUACCCAAAUUUUUAUUAUUUUUCUAGGGUGUAAAAAUUUUAAUACAUAAAGGAAAAUAAAACAAGCCUAACAAAAUUGGUUUCACUAAUUUUGGACACUUCUAGAAAUUUCUGUGAUUUAAAAUGGUGUAAAACGGAUUUAAACUAAUUACUUUCCUAAAGGAAAUCUAAUUUUCCCGAAAAGCACCCGGAUAAACUUUUCUUACUCAGCCUAACUCUACCCUCUCUCACGCGCACUGGGCCCCACGGCGCGGACCCACCGAAACACUGUUCCAAUGACCCGCCGGCCCUAUUCUUUCCUUAACGGGCCUCGUGGGCCGAUUCUCUCUUUCCUUUUCUUUUCUCUGGUCCAACAUCGGCCCAGCGGCCCAUCUUUUCUUUUCUUCUUUUCCCGCGGGACCGGCCUACUGGAUCUCUGGGCUUUCGGCCUUUUUCUCUUCCGGUCGACCGCGCUCGCGUCACUGGGCCUCCAGGCUGCGGCCCAGCAAACGGCCGCGCGCCCGGCCUCCUUCUCCCCCUCUCCCUUCUCACUACCGUGCGGGCCCGAGUGCCCAGACGCUUCUUCCUCCUCCCGCCAAAACACGCACGCGUAACAGGGGGCGGCGCGACUCGCUGGCCGGCGCCCCACCGGCGGCGAAGCUGGGUCAGGACAGCACCUCUACACCUUCAUACACCCGUGCGCGGCAACAGCUCCUCGGGAGACGGCCGGAGCCAUUCCCUCCACGGCGGCGGGCGGCGACACCUUCGGCCGGUCGUGACUACUCACGACGACGCACAACUUACUCAAAAAACUACCCUUACACCAUCCUAGGACCCUAAGGACUUGCCUACGACUACUUAAGAAGGAAGGGGAACAGCGCAAGGUAGGGCUCACCGUGAACGGACGGCGCGGCGACGGCGGACAGAAACAACGGCGAGCACGGUUACUCCGGCAUGGAUGUUGGACAACAACUUGGCUGGGGUGUAGCUGGGGUGUCUGUGGAGGAAUGGGCGAGAGGAAUCGACGGGAGGUGAGGCGUGGCGGUGGAAUUUUGCUCGGCGGCGGUGCUUGACAGAGGAGGCGCUGGCGGCGGUAAAAAGAGCGGCGGUGAAAACAGCGGCGCGGGAGCGGUAGUUAUUCAAGCGUUCACCGCGCGCAUGGGUGACACCGUGGCCUACCCAUAGGCUUAUGUGGUGAGGAGGUGGCCUAGCUAGACGCGCUGGCGAGCGACCGACGACGGCGGCGACGACACGUCCUGCUGCUCUGUCACCGCUCCUCUUUUCUUCUUCUAACGCCCGUGACUUCAGAGCGAAAUUACGGCCGAUCUUCAAUCCAAUGGUCCCCAAGCGCCUUAAUAGAAGUUGGAGAUAAACUCAAACCCUUCACCUUUUAUUUUGGCUCUGACCUGAGAUAAUCAUCAAAUACAGCUGAAUUUUGAUUUGUUUCUCGGGUUCCUCUGAAGUUUACUGAAACUGAUAUUCAGUUCAUCAGUCAAUCAAGGUGCUCAUUUGCCCGACUUAGUGAUCCAUUUCGGUGGUCCAAAUUCCCUUCCCGUAGCUCAACUUCUUCCCGAUGAUGUUCUACAACCUCCAAAGUUUCCAUUUUGCCCAAGAACACCUACCCUUCUUGAUCCCCAUCUCUCUGAUUUAAAUCCAAAGUUGAUCAGAUGCUGCUGUUUUCAGACUUAGGCGUUUUCAGUGAUAGUUAAACUGUGACAAUGUGCUGACUUUGAGCUAUAUUUCGAAAUUGUUCCCUUCCAUGUUCCUGGCCAACAACACCCAAAUCUUGUAGUCCAAAGGUCAUACUUCAAUAUAGUAUAGUUGUCCUGGUGCACUUAUUUGAAAAAUUCUUCAGAAAUCAAUUUCCAAAAUGGACUCUGAGGCUGUUUUUCUGAAAUUCUAUUUUCAGACGAGGAACAGUAACUUCAGUUUUCCUUUUUCUUUCUUUGAUUCCUCUGAGCUAUUUAGCACCAUUUCUGUUCCAAAUUUUUGAUCCUUAAGUUCUAAUCACUCUCAUACUCGUAUUCCAUACUUUUGCCGAAUUUUUCUGAAUUUCAAAUUUAAAAUUCAAAUUUCGGCCAAAUUUGACCCGAAUUUGAUUUUCGGCCAAUUUCUUUUUCUUUUCUUCUCAAUUUGCUUUUAAUUUUUCAAAGUCACUUAGAUGACUAAAUUGGCAGCUGUUACAGCAGGGAUCGCGGCGGGAUGGCUCGAAGGCUCGCGGGUCAUCUAGGCAAGCGGGGCCGUGAAGCUCACCUGGUGGGCUUGCUGGAGAGGAGAUGGUGGUGCGGUGGCGAGGUGUAGCGGUGGUGAGGCGGCACCGUGCAGGGAGCCCGGCAGUGUUGGCGUAGUCGUACGAGCGCGGGCUCGACGGCAUUCCGGCGAGGAUAGCAGUCUCCUUCUCCUCCUCCGAUGUCCUCUCCUCGCCUCCUGCGCCCCCUCCUUCCCUCUCCUCUUCUCCAAAUGGCAUCGGGUGAAGGGGAAAACCCCAAUUGCGGUGGCGGCUGGGAGUGGCUGGUGCGGAAGCCCAAAUAGGCGAUGGCUAGGGCUUCUUGGCGGCGAUGGAUGACAGGGGAUGUGGCCGGGCGGCGUGCAUGCAUCCAUAUGUGCCAUCGCAAAAGUGGUGCAGGCGCGGCCGACAUCAUGUGCGGAGUGCACGUCGCUGGCGCGCUCGUGCCGCGCGCAUGAGCGCCGUGGGGAAGAAAAGGAAACAAUGGUGCGGGCGGCUGAUGUGUGGGGCCUGGCAGUUAGCAGCUACGGCAUGGAGGCGGUUUGGCACUAGGUUGUUAGAAAGCCGGAAGUUCCAAGUUUGGAAAACCGGAAGUUCUGGUUUUUGCAUCUACCUUAGUUUGGGUAGUUAGCUAGGUGGGCUGGUGAGGUUAGCUGGGUUGGUUUGGGCCCAGGUUAGGUUUAGUUAGCUUUUCUAUUUUGAUUUGUAUUUGAAUUCCAAUUCAAAUAUAAAUCCCACUCAAACAAAUCGAAAUAAAUUCCAAAUGAACUCCAAAUAUUCACACUAGCACAUAUUACACAUUAGCAAUUCAAUUUAAUUUAUAAAUCAAUUUUGGGGAUUUUGGGAGAGAUUCAAUAAAGACACUCUUAUAGUUUGGAAAAUUCACUCGACAAACACAAAAUUUUUGAAAUUCACAGUUUUGCAAAUUCAAAUAUCUCAUAAAACUACGGGAUGUUAUAGAUCCUAAAAUGGGUAAGGCUUUUGUUGAGGCCUCAGUCCCAUGCACAUCCCUAGAUGCGACCACCCAUGCCGCGCCACAAAAGCCGUUGGACCCAUCAUCGAAUAUAGGUGGUGACCGCACGCAUUCCCACUGCCACCAGCAACCAUGCAAUACGUGCGUCCCCACAUCAGGCAUCCAAAGGGGCCCCUAGCCACCGUAGCAGCAGCACUGCCGCUGGCCAUUGGGCAGUAGCACUGCUGCGCUGCCAGCCACCGCGGUAGCAGCCCUGCUAGCCGGGUAGCGAGUCACCGCAACCCUGCCACGCCAGGGAUGGCAGUGCCGCACAUGAACAGCAUCGGCCUUCACAGGCUGCACAUCGCUGUUGCCGCACAUAGCUGCAGUAACGCAUGUAUGUCGUGCUGCGGCUGUAGGACCCAAGGCCGUGCGCCGACGCCGUUGUAGGACCCAAGAGGAGGCCCGGUUGUGGAACAGGGUGUCAGCCGCAGAUUGAACCACCACGACUGCCCCGCACGAACCCGAUAGCUAUAAGUCGCUACACUCAGCACUAGCGACAGCACAGCGUUCACUCACGCGGGAACGCUGGGCACCAUCCCCCGCGAUGAGGACACGCAACCAUCAUAGAUCUGCAUCCUAGGGUGGCAGAUCCGACUGCCGCGCCUAGGCCACAAAUUUGGCUGGAGCACCACCGACAUGCCACCACCAUGGAAAGGGAAAGGAGGAGUACAGGGUGAGAGAAGGGAGGGGAAACACAAAGGGAAAAAACAUGCCCCGCUGCCGCCGUCCUUGCAGCUGCCAUGUUUCUGGCGGCCUGCUCGAGCGGUGGCAUAGCAGGCGGGGCUGGUUUCCGCCCGUGCCCUUCCCGAUAGAGACAAUGCAGGCAUCUUCUAUGAAAGAGUUAAGUAGAUUCUGCCUUCAUUGUGAAGCAUCCAUUAUUGCCACACCCGACUUUAGAAACAAAACCGAAUACUCGUCGUAUAUAUGCCAUGGUCAAUCACUCAUACAUGUGACAAAGACAAUAGUGAAUCAUAGCAAUGUCAAGUUAACUUCAAUUUAUAAAAUAUUUUCCUCCACUAAAAUUUAGUCCUUCCACUAAUCAUUUUCUAGAAAAUAUCAAACUGUUGUAAAAACUGAAAUUUAGGGUGUUACAACACUAGCAUUAGUCCCGGUUGGGAAGCCUCAUAUAUCUCGGUUUUCCCAACCAAGACUAAUUAAUCGGGGCUAAAGGUCCCCAUCUUUAUUCCCGGAUCUUUCAUCUGGGCCUAAAGAGCUUCCUUUUGAUUACCAACUGGGACUAAACGGUUUUGCAUCAAAAAAAUAUUCUAAAAUUCUCGAGAGGCCUCCUACACGUGCAAGUCACAAGUCACACAAUUUUUCACGUAAAAUAUGCACCUGCGCGUUGCGUGGGAUUCGAAUCCACGACCUCAAGUCUCACGUGUAGCUUCCUUACCAUCUUACCUACACAACACAUCUAACUAAGUAGGGGAUGCAAUCCUUUCGCAGUAACUCAUGGGGGAUCCAGGUCACCCUUUAGUCCCGGUUGCCCUCGGAGGCUUUAGUCCGAGUUUGUAACACCAACUAGGACUAAAGAUCACCUUUAGUGCCGGUUGGUGUUACCAACUGGGACUAAAGGUGUCUCCACGGACUACAAAAUUUAGACCCGAGAUUAAAACCUCUUUAAUCCCGGAUCAAAAACAACUGAGUUUUGUUGAGAAUGGAAGGUCAUUUUCCUAUUUAGCGAUGCACUGUCUAUUUCCUUGCUAGACCAUGGACUAUAUUCCCACCACACAAGUGCGUAAAAUAGCUCGGUCAUGACUUUCCCAUCCAUGGAACCCAAUGUGUAGCCCCCUAGAUGUGCAUCUAUGUGAAGCCGGUUGAACGGGAGACGAGGCAAAGUCGUCGUCCCCCAUGAAAAGGGAACUAAGAAGUCAACAAGUCAAUGCGUGUGCCUCACCUUCUGGGGCUCACAGCCAUAUCCUUAAUUCGCUUCUUCACCACCACCAGAAUUCCAAGCGCCAUCACUUGAAAAUCACCACUGUAGAAUAGUGCACUGGUGCUCUCACCUCAACGCAUCGGUUGCCACCACUUGCUGAUCCUCUUAUGAAAACCAUGAGCAUCCGCGGCCACGCCAUGGCCUUCGCGGUCGCCAGCCUGCUGAUGGCCCUCACGCAUUACGCGGCUGGCAUACCGUUGCUCGCAUUCCUCGGCUUCUCCGAUCGGGAUUUUCUCACCACCCCGACCAACCAGGAUGAUCUGGAGGUGUUUCUAUUGACAGCCAAGAACGUCUCCUCCGACAUCACCAGCCGGUUCAGCGCAUCCACCUUCACGCUCUUCAAUGCCGUCGCCGAUUACGUCGCCACCACGGACUCGCAGAGAAAGUUCGGGACAGGAGCCAUUCAUUUUGACGACGCAACCUACCCCAAUACGUACGGCAUGACAUCAUUCAAUCCGGGCCUUCGAACUCACGAUCUCAAGCCUCGCACGAGGCUUCCUUACCAUCUCACCCCUCUUCUCUUCUUUGACUAUAUCGAAUUUACUGAGCAUGUUCUAUUAAAUUUUAGACCAUCAAUUCAUCUGAUCUAAGGGCUCAUUUCUCCACCCCGCUUUAUUCUCUUUCGAUCAAUCAUGACCCUCACGAGCCGACCAUAGCCUAUAUAGGCAUAUCCUAAAUUUGGACCAUCGAUUCAUAUGAUCCAAUAGGUCAUUUCUCCACCCCACUUCUUUUCUUAAUAAAUAAUAAUCCUCGCAUAGGAUCUGGCUAUUAACUAUUUGGGCAAAUCCUAAACUUUGGCCCAUACACCCCAUUUAUUUUCUUGAUCAAACAUGAUCCUCCAUAGGAUCUAGCUAUAGCCUACGUGGGCAAGCCCUGAAUUUUAAGCCGUGGCCGUUGACUCAUUUGGUCAAAUAGCCCAAUUAUUUCUCGACCCUAGUUCAAUCCAAACUUUUCUGCUAAUCAACCCUCCCGUAGGAUCCAACCAUAGACUACAGGGGUGUUUGGAUACUAGGUGCUAAACUUUAGCAGUGUCACAUCGGAUGUUCGAAUGCUAAUUAGAAGGACUAAACAGGAGGUAAUUAUAAAACUAAUCACAGAACCCUGUGCUAAUUCGCGAGACGAAUCUAUUAAGCCUAAUUAAUCCGUCAUUAGCAAAUGGUUACUGUAGCACCACAUUGUCAAAUCAUGGACUAAUUAGGCUUAAUAGAUUCGUCUCGCAAAUUAGACUCCAUCUGUGCAAUUAGUUUUAUAAUUAGCCUAUGUUUAAUACUCGUAAUUAGCAUCCAAACAUCCGAUGUCACAAGUGCUAAGUUUUAGGGGGUGUAUCCAAACACCCCAUAUUUGAACUUGUCCUAAAUUUUGGACCAUCGAUUCAUGCGAUCCAACAGCCUACUUCUCAACUUCACUACUUUUUCAAGUCUAGUUAUUGGGCUUUUCCUAAAUUUGGACUGACAAUUCAUGUGAUCCAACAACCCAUUUUACACAUGUUUAAUAUAAUUUUUCUUCCCAUCAAUCCCCACCCUCCCGUUCCGCCGCUACCACCCACAGUUAUCGACAUUCGACACCAAUAAGCCACCCCCAAAGCCUCUGUCCUCCAUCAGCAUUACCUGACUGCUUGACUAUUGCGACCUUCUCCAUUGUGCCGCUCACCCCUGAAUGAUUAGAUCCUCCUCUCCGAUGCAUUCCCAUGACAAUAUUUGUUGUUGCACAGACUCAAUUGGCUUUGCCAGUAUAUAUGAUGACUUGAUGCCCUCCAUCUCCGUUCCUGUUCAUCACUACCAUAGUUGCAACUUUCCCUUUUUACUCGCUACACUCCAGUGAGCAAGGCCCCUACCCUAAUUCCUCACCUCGUUGGUAUGUCACCUGAAUCGGAGAAGAAGAUAUAUAUACAAUGUGUGAAUGUUCUAUCACCUCAAAGAUGGAGUGCCAUCUCCUACAAAUAAAUUCUGGGAAAAAUUAUCUUUCCCCAUUUAUCCUAUAACUUCCUGCUAGCUUUUCAGGCAUACACAUAUAUAGUACUUGUCAACAAUGCACGGUGAUCAAUCGAUCUGAAAGCUGGAAUAGAGAAAGAAUAGGAGGAAAAUAUCAAUUCCCUCAGCCUCUAUAUAUGCAAUUAGCUAAGAAAAGUAGAUAGAUCGAUCCACGCAUCAAUGCAUUUUUCAAUUGAUUUGUUUGUUGAUCUGUUCCAUGGAGGAGAAUACGCAUGGAUACAUUAUCAAUCGAGUAUUUUUGCUGAUGUACACUUCAACUCCUAGGGGCUAGCUACCGCACUACUCUUAAUCAUGGAGGUAAAAACAAAUCAUGCUCACGCAUUAUCGACCGAGCUAGUUCACCACAACACCCAAAAGAAGGAGCAUUUAUAAAUACACAUGGAUCAAUCAAUCUGUAUAUGGAAAGAUAGAUGUAGGGAGUAUCUAGGGAUAGUGAGAAAUGGAGCAGGAAGGAGCCAGAGCAUAAAUGGAAUAGUUACCUGCUUGUUAUACAGAGCAGAUGGGGCAAUCAUGUUGCUGGUGGUGCUGGAGAUCAUGUCCACAGAUCCUUCCUUCCUUCCACCAAGCUAUAUAUACAAAAUUAAUAAAGGACCAAACAAUUGAAGCCAGGAUCAAUCGAUCCAAGCAAAUCAAACCUGUUGUGGAACACCUUACCAGCAAAGAGUUGAGGAUGGAGGACGAACUUGCAGCCUCCAAUCUGAUCCCUCUCGUCGCUGGGGAGUAAGGAGGGAGAGUGAGAGAGAUACAACAUGUUAGAGAUACCUUCAGUUAUAUAUAGAGAGAGGGACGAGCACAUGGUGUGAGGACCUGGACAUACUAUGGGCUGCUGGAGAUGGAGCCACCGGUGAGGUGGAAACGAUAGGGUGAUUUCCCGUGAAAGCAACCACGCGUCAUGUGGGCUAGAUGAUGGUCCCUCCCACGAGGGAGAGCAAUCCAUGGUCUGCAGCCCACCCAUCGAGAAACUUUCCAGGUCGCCUCUUUUGUUUGCAUAUGUUGCAUAUGCAACAGAAACGAUGAGGACACUAGUAAUGCAUCAUUGUCUCCAUGCAUCAUCUUCUUCCACCGCAAGCUAGCCAAGCAACCCUUCCUCCUCAUCCUUGUUAAAUUAUUACUUGGAUUAGUAGCCAUCGACAGAUGUAUAAUCUAAUUUUAAAAAAGAUGUAUGAUAUGCGAAAAUUAUUACUUGGAUUAGUAUGCAUCAUCUUCUUCAACCUGCACUGUGCCAUUUGGUUCAAACUUCCGCCCCCUGCGUGCCAAUUUUGCCUCACGCGGUCACGCCCGUUAACUUACACAUAAAGACUGUUAUGCCCUCGCUUCUUCCUCCUCCCAAUCACAUAUAUAGACCAGCGCUCCAUUUGGAGGUCCCUGCUGCUUGGGCUGUUGGGACUCGAAUUGAAUCCACUUAAAGAAAGGAAAUCAAAUUUUGGCAAAACAAAAGGAAUCCAUUCGCAGACAAACACGAGUAUGGAAACCAAUAGUUUGAUACAUCCAAGUAAAACUUGUAGCGAUACAAAGAAAUCGAUUUGGCAACUUCUGUGAUUAAAUCAAAGCGGCGAUUCUAUCCGGCCAACUCUUUUUUUUUUCUGAAAAAUAUUCGGCCAACCACCGCCGGAAAAGUUGGCAUGCUCAGCAGGAGGGGGUUUGUCGGCAGUGAUCUGCACUACAGGAGAAAUGUUCAGGCGCUGCACCGAGGGGGUGGUUAGACUUCAUUAAACCAUCUUAAGCCAUGAUAUCUAUGCAAGCCUAAGCUGCCGGCCGUCAUAUGCCAGGGCGCUGGCUUGGCUUGAACAACUUAACGCAAGAAGUCAGAGCACCAAUACAGGCUUGUGCUGGAAACUGAUCGUUGCUACCAAGGAAAGCCUAAAAUGGGCAUGUCCACUCCCUCGCCCAUAUCCUACUGAUAGAAUCCAAGCAUUAUCUCCUUUAUUAGGCAGAGCCAAAGUCGCGGUAGAAAAUAGAGAUUCAAGUGCAAAUAACUUUGGUAGAGCGUUGUAACCACAAUAUAUUAAUAUCGAUGCAACUAUAUUCAAAGCAAUAGUAAGCAUCUUAUGGGACCAUCAUAUCAUAUCCUGGAUCCUUGGGUCAGAACACAAACCACACAACAUUAUAUAUAGUUUACUCCUCAUCAUCAUAAAAGAAAAGAAGAGAAGCAAAAAUUAUUUAUGCUAGCGGAUCACCAUAAUUGUGUAAGCCUUCGUUACUUUGAAUAAACCGAAAUCAUGAUGAUGACCACAGUGCAGACGGAGGCCGCUAGGAGCAAACCACAUGAGGCGUCGAAGGAGAUGAAGAAUUUUCUACGAGCAGAGUCAAAGUAUUUUCCAUCAAUACGCUGACUGUCAACCACGAGACCUAGUCCGGCAGCACCUCCCGAGGUGAAUAAUGUGCAAAAUACCUAAACAAUGUACAUUCAUUCAGCAUAAAGAGUGGUAAGCAUCCUGUAACCGUCUGUCUGUCAAUCUUUAAUUCGGAAACAAACAAUAAGAGAUGUUUCCGAUGAGUACUUAGAAAAUAUCAUAGUUAGUCCUUGCAACGUCAAGGACUAAUUCAGAAACAAAUAAGAGAUGUGAAAGAAUAGUUGUAUGAUCAUAUCUUCAGAACCUUUAACAACUCUACUAUACUAUUGAAGAAUAUAGCGAGGAAAUGCUUACAACGUCAAGGAAACUGAGGAACCUUGCAGCAUUGGUGCCUCCAACUCUCUUCCCUUCGAUGACAGCAAUUAUUGCCAAGGAUAUUAGUAUCAGACUGUAUGCACAGCCAAUGGCAGCCACAGACAAGACAUACCUAAAAGCAAGAACAAAAGCAUGGUAAGAAAUUAAAUGAAGAGACCUAAUUACCAAGAAAGUUGUAUAAGGUUUUUAUUGUUUCCCUCUUUCCAUCCUUUUCUUUCAUUUUCAUAUUUCAUGAAAAAAGUAGAUUAUAUGCAGGUUAUCAUUUUUUGAACUCUCAUAGCCAGCUGCAUGCAAACUCUCACCUGUAUGUGUAUAGACCUUGGAAGGUAAAGUCAUAUUGUUGGGUAAGUUCUAUAUCACCGAUAUAGAUAUAAAUUGGGUAAGGUCCAUAUAUUGUUUUAGCUGUCGUUGCUGUGACGACAAGAGAAGCUGCGAGGAGGCAUAGUGUAAUUACCCGAAGGAAUAGAGUUACCACAGGGAGAGCUCGACCUCGAGCUGAGAACGCCAUUUGUGGCUUAGAUGCUAUGUGCUUGCAUUGUGCUGGUUGUUUCCAUAAGGAUUUAUACAGGUCCUCUGCAUGCAUGCAGGGCCGCUUGGUUGGAAAUAACGAGGAGUUAAGUUCAAGAAAAGCAACUACAAGGACGAUGGGAUUCUUCCUUGCUUAGGUCGUCAUGCACAGCUGACAAGGCGAUCGAGGUGCCUUCAGUCUUAAGCUGCGUAUAAUAACAAGGGUAUGGGUAUUAAUUUUGCCAGAGUAAUCACUGUUCGACGAGAAGAUACUGCUAACAUUUGGUUCUAUGCUAAAAAUGUUAUAAUCAAUGAUGGAAUAGUAAACAAAGAUACUAGUUUAUUUGGAUGGAUGUUCUUGUAGAUGUAAGUAAAAUCCUAAAUUACAUAUUGAUGAAAAAUAUGGUGCAAGAUGUUCAUUGCCAUCAUAAACCAAAGUACAUGUUCAUAACUGCAGUAUAUAUUGUGCGAAAUAGAGACCGGAGAUGAUGCAUGGAUCACCAGCCAUACUGUAAUCUCCUUGAUGGUAUUGCCCCACAUCAUCAUAGUAAAGGAAUGCCAUGAUGUAGCUUGAUAACGUGGUAUGAAAUUGUUGGUAGCCUGGAUAUCAUCCAAAAGGAUUGAAAAUUGAAAUGAUAUGUUAUGGGUACUGGGGAUGUUAAUUGGGUCCGCAUGGUGAAGGUGGUUGGAUAUUUGUGGGAAACUGAGGUGGAGGGAAACUCUGGAACCGGUGGUUGUAGCCACUUUGUGGCCCAUGAAUUCUGGAGUUGAGGUUGAGGAGUUCACCAGGCUUCUGAAAGCUGUCCGAUGAAGACGGGUCCAUGCUUUGUUUUGUAAAAGGGAGAUCAGAGCUAAGCCAUUGUUUUAUCUUGUUUCUGAAAGAGUAUAGGCAUAAAUUUUCAAGCGAAAUAGAUCAAUAUAUAGACCAGGAAACAACGUCUAGUUGGCAACGUUAUUAAGGUGGUUGGUUGAUUCAAUGUACACAUUUAUAUGCAUGCAUCGAUACAUUUUCUGUACUCGAUUCUUUUCCCGUACAAAGAUUUGAUUAUGAGUCACUUUAUAAAGAAAAAAAUGUAUUUUUCAUCCCUCAAGUAUUACAAAAAUAUCACAUUCAUCCCUCAUAUUUCAUUUAGUGCAAAUCAUGCAAAUCAACUGUUUAACUAACUAAACCAGUGCAGUUGUCAUCCUUACCUUAGUUUGGCUUAAUGUCAUCUAAUAGCGGUUUGUGCCACGUAAUCAUCUGAUUAAUCCCUUCUUAGCGAUGUAAUAUGCUGAGUUGAAGAUAUAAAGUAAAAAAAAGUAAAUCCUCUAAGUUGCCUAUCCCAUAAAAAAAUUAUCAGAAAAAUUAACAGAACCAAUUUUCCCAAACUAUUAUAGCGAUUGAUUCAACAUUAGACAUGGCUAAGCAGUGAUUAGUAAGAUGAUUACAUAGUCUAAUUUGGUGUUAUAUGAUAUUAAAUUAUUUUUAAAUUAAGAUAGGAUGCUAAAUAUACUAAUUUAAUUAGUUAAGAGGUUAAUUUACAUCAAAUGAAAUAUGAGAUAUGGAUGUCACACUUUUGCGAUACUCGUAUAUUGCUAAGCCCUCGAGCAACAGGCGAAGAGAAUUGGUACCGCCGCUGAUUGUUUGGGCAGUUGGCCUCCGUGAGUCAACAUUUGGCCAUGGCCAAGAUCAGCCCAUGGGCCGUGAGAUAACUUCCGGUCAUGACAAAAUAUCAUCUUGCGCUAGAAAUGUACGAUGGUCCAUCAAUUCCAUGGGCCAGGUGCUCGUGGGCUGGAGCUUUGCCUUCCUAAGAACAUCACGGAUUUCCCUUAAAAAAAAGAACAUUACGGAUCUUUUAUAGAUCCAAUACCCAGCCAAUUUGCACAGUAACCAUUUUUUGCUAAUUAAUGAUAAUGCUGAUGAUCUUCAAAGACCGGCACAUGUACAACGCUCUGCAAAAGUGUGUUAGUGACCUAGAGCGGUGCCGGACAGUUUCCUUGGAAAUAGCUAAGAUGGUAUGUUGUCAUGACAUCUGGAAGUAAUUUUAUUGCUUCACGUGUGAAUUUCUGAUAAAACUAGUGUGUGUUGCUUAUGGGGUGUUUGGGAGCACUCCACUCCACGAAAAAUUGCUCCACUCCACCAACUCCGAAAAUUUCGCAGCCAAACGCGUCUAGCUCCAGCAACUCCGGCUCCAGGAAAAAGGUGGAGCAGGGGGGUAGAUCCACAUUUUUUGUGGAGUACCUCAAGGGGUGCUCCAAAAACCCCCUUUACAGACCUCCUUGUGGAGUAGGUGGGUAUUUACCCACCAUUGCCACUCGUUACACACAUACCGGUUCGAUUCAAGGAAAAGAAAACACCCCGGCUCGCUGUGCUGCCCCUGCCUGCCUGCCGCCCGCCGCCCCGGCUCGCCGCGCCACCCCUGCGCCCGCCGCUCGCCGCGCCGCCCCGGCUUGCCUCGCGCCACGCCGCCCCUGCACCCGCCGCUCGCCACCCCUGCGCCCGCCCGCCCGCCCGCCGCUUGCUGCGCGCCGCGCCGCCUGCCGCGCCCCGUGCCCGCCCGCGCCCGCCUGCCCUGCGCCCCACGCCGCCUGCCCGCCACUCGCCGCCCGCCGCGCAUCGCGCCGCGCCCGCCGCGCCCCGCGCCCUCCGCCCACCGCCCCUGCGCCUCGGGAGAAGAAAGGAGAAGGAGAAGAAAGGAGAAGAAAAGGAGACUGACAAGUGGGACCCAUUCACAUGGGUAUAAUAGACCAUUCACAACAAGUGCUAAUGUUUUUGGAGCUGGAGCACUGCCAUUAGCCAAACAUGUGCAGCAGCUCCAUGUUUUUUUGGAGUUGGUGGAGUGGAGCUAGGAAAGUGUGGAGCUGGUGGAGUGGAGCUGGUUUUUCUGGAGUGGAGUGCUCCCAAACAGGCCCUAUAUGUGUAUGCAGGGGCGGAGCUACAGGGUGGUCCCGGCCUGUGGGCCAUGGAUCACCAUGAAAUCCAGCCUAGGAUCUAUUAGGCUAAUCCAAGUGGGGGUUUCAUAGGGGUUUCAUGCAAAUUAAAUACAGUGACACAUCAGCAUAUGUGAUGACAUGGCAUGAUAGUUAUGAAGUGAGAGAGGGAAGGAGUUUCAUCAGGAUGAAACUGUAUAUACACUGUUUCCAAGACUAUGAAACUUGCAUUGGGGGCUAUAGAGUUUCAUUUCAUCUAAAUGUAUCCAAUCGCAUGCCUCAUAAUUAAAUGUCAUGGUCAUCCUAUGAAAUCGUGAAAUGAAACUGUGCACUGGGACUCUCUGUUUCAUUCAUGAGAAUACACCUCAUGGGAUGAUGUAGCAUCUUUAGAAACAGUACAAUGAAACCUUGCACUGGGACUAGCCUUACCCUCUCUUCCGAUCCACGAAACAAAAAAUUUUCGCCUCUUGUCCUUCCGCCGUUCUGUGUCGCUUUGCAGUUGUUUUUCCCCUGAGGUAACCGUAUGGCCUGAUUGGAGCAUGGAGCAUGAGAAACCACGGCCCCGGCCGCUAAUAACGGUGGCGGCCAGCAAGCAGGAGCAGCAUUGCAUCAACUGGAGUCAGCAAUUGGAGCACCUAGCCUGAAAUGCUAGCUACGCCACUGUGUCUAUGUUAUGCGAAAGCCGUGUCUAGGCAGCUGUGUAUUUUUUAGAAAAAGGAAUUAAUUGUCUCUAGCUAGUAGCUAUGUAUAAACGUCUUUUUUAUAUGCCAUAGAAUUAUAGUAAAUCAUAACUACAGCGUUUAUUACUUGGAGGUUCAUGUGCGCAAUCAAGUGUCAACACACAAAUUACAGUAACAAACAAAAGGGUAACAGGUUGGCAUUAUUAUUAUUAUUAUUAUUAUUAUUAUUAUUAUUAUUAUUAUUAUUAUUAUUAUUAUUGAUGAACAUCAAUAAGAGGGGAAAAAAACUUCACUUCUUGUAGGCCGUAUUUCAAUAGUCUUUUGUAGCGAACAUUCUCCAGACUUAUUACAAUCAUGGACUGGUUGACCAAAGAAUUGAUAGAGAAGAAAAAUGAGAAAUAUUAUUCGUCCAUUUAUGCAGAUGCAGAAAACCUUUUUCCAAUGUCUAUAAUCAAAAUUCCUUCACGCAGGUGUUUGUCAGGCUAGCUAGGUGAGUGAGUGAACCGAGGCCAUUAUCAUGAUCACCAUGCAUACGGUGGCUCCCAGCAUCAAACCACACGAGACGUCCACCAAGUUGAGGAAAUUCUUGAAAUCAGAACUUUGUUGUUGAUGCUGGUACUCAACUGUUAGACCUAGGCCUGCCGCAGCUCCUGUGGCGAUCAGCACAGCAAGCACCUGCAGCAUGCGGGGACAUUCAUCAUCCGGCCAGCAAGCACUUUUUAUUCAGUAACUAAUACGAAAAAAAAGUUUGAUUUGAAAGAUUUUUUUUUUUAUUUUGAAGACAUAAAGAUAGAACAAUAAUAGGAAUUGAAUCCCAUAAAAAAUUCACUGUUUUUCGCUGGAGAAAUAAAAAGCUAACUAUGAAGUGCUUUGAAUGAAGGGAAACCCUUUUGAAACUCUACUGGAUGUGGAGAUCUAGAUGCUCCCCAGUCCUCCUCACACAGUGGCAAGAAUGCUUACCACAUCAGUGAAAAUGAAGAGAGCUAGGCCACGACCGCGCCCAAUUUUCCUCCCUUGGGCAACAUGGAUUGCGGCGAAUGGAAGCACCAACAAAGUAUAUGCACAGCCAAUGACAGCAGCCGACAGAAGAUACCUAAAAAGGUACCAAAUAGGCACAAAAUUAAAAUUGAGCAAACAAUCAACAAAAUUCAUUCACAAAAGAAAAAUAUAACUUGAUAGAUGAGAGGUCUGUUUAAAUUCACCGGUACGCGUAGAAGUCACGAAAGGUGAUAUUUGGUGGGUCUACUACAUCGGUAAACGGUGCGUAGAUUUUGUUAGUCACUAUGAUGAUAAUUGAAGCAACCAAGAGGAGGAGCGUGAGGACCCGCAAGAGCAGGGAUGCUGCAGCGAGAGCUCUCUCUGAGAAUGCCAUUUCUUUGCGCCAGGGAUGAGAGCUGAUCGUUGUCCAUUCCUUUCCAGCUUUAUACGAGUGGAUACUACCUUUCCUUUGGGGCAUAGUUAAUUGAUGCUGAGCUAUCUUGAAGGCAUUCUGUACAAAGAGUUCUUGUUCCAAUCGCUGUCUUAGUCAGUUAGUCUGAAGUUGUCCUGAAGAGGUCGGAGCUAGCCAAGCUAGCAUCUUACCAUUCUUUGUUUGUUUUGGUUGGAGCGCAUGCAAAGCUGGUACAAUCGUGCAGCAGGUCAAGUGUAAACAUGACAUCUGGCUGUUCGGGGGGUCAGGACCCGGUCGCUAGCAAACCGUCCUUUCUUGUAUUAUAAUGAUUACACACAUACUCACACCACAGGUGACGUACCUGAAAGUGCACAUCCUAUAUGAUAAGCACAAUUUCUACAAAUACGUCAGUGAACUCAAGGAUGUUUAGUUUGAGGAACGGUGUGGCUCAUCGCACCUUCUCAUUCCUCUUUUUUUUGUUUAGUUUGUGGAAUAGAAUGUCUUGAUCUAUUACCACCUCAUCGCUCACAAGAUAAUAAUCGAGUUACUCUACUAAAAUUCAUAGAAUGCACACAUUAUGGACUACCUCUCAAAAUACCCCACUAAUGCAUACUUGUGUUUGUAAAUCAUAGGAACUAGGAUUUUAAACCUUCGCAGGUCGAGCUGUAGCUUUACGCCUCCACGAACACAUUAAGGGGGUUACAUAUUAUAGGAUUUUAAAUCUAAACGUUGAGUUUAUUUUUUCUACGUUAACGGUGGUAAUGACAAAGGUAAUUUAGUGGUCACAUUAGGCUAUUUUUAUUAGUAUAGGAGGUGGAGAAUUUAGAUGCAAAUUUAGAGGGUGAUUUAAUUUAUAUUAUUUUUAAUAAUGGCAUAUAUGGGUAACUUAGGCACAAAUUCAGAGGGAUACUUUAUACUAUUUUUAAAAAUGGUAUAUAUGGGUAAUUUUGAUUAAAAUUAGGGAUUUCUAUAGAAUAUUUUCAUAAUGACAAAAAUGAAUAAUUUAUAUAUAAAUUUAUGACUGGUUCAGUUAAUCCUGAAUUAGGAGAGGUUGAGGGGGAUUAACUCCCCAGCAGACUUGUAGCGGAAUUAUUCCUCUCAAAUCCUCUUCAAUCCCCUUGUGGUGGGCAUUAACUAAAAAAUUCCUUAGGAUGUUAUUUAGAUUAUCUUUAUAAUAGCAAAGGUGGGUAAUGUUUUUAUAAAACUGAAUAGACCCUAUUGUAUUAUUGUAAAUGAUAAUAAGAGUUUAUCAAUUUUAUUGACGGAUGUUUCUAAUUAUUGCGGAAUUUAUUUGGAUUCUUUUUCUAGCGUAUCUUGUGAGAAUCAAUGUGCAUGCCUCAAAAGAUGUCUCGAAAUACUAACAGUAAGAUGAAUAGAAAUGGUACAUGCUUGGCGCACACACGAUAUGCAAUAGAAAAGCUCUUUUGUUUUAUUCCCAUCGAACAGAGAUGGAUGCACUACACUGCUUGAUGUGGGCAGCAGCACUGAUAUGCAAAACCAUGUUUACUGCAGAAGGCCCCGUUGCCAUCCUUGAAGCCCUUGUUGACACAAACUUGGCCGCAGUCAUGAUCUACACAGUGUGCACCACUGUAAGGAUAGCACGUCAUCUCUGGCUUGUGGCGACGGUCGUCAAGGUCGACUACACUUGCAACACAACACAAACAGAUUCAGAUUGCUUGAUUAGUUAGUAAUCUGAACAUCUCAAAAAAUAAUUCAAAGUAUAAGGAGUUAUAUACGCGUACCUUCCCCAGCUUGGCAGCAUGAAGAAGUGUGCGACAUGAUUGCAAGAAUCAAGAAAAUAGCUGCUGCCAAGUACACAACCCUCUUGGUACUGCAUUUGGCGAGUGCCAUGAGUGGAGAAUCGCUCACUUUAACUUCUGCUAGGAUUGGAGGAUAGGGUCACUUGUAGCUGCCUCUUCUGUAUUUCAGCGUGCGAGUGUUUAUAUAGAUCGAAGCACAACCAAAUCUCAAGUAAGAAUAUUCUCAGAAUUUGCCCCUCUCAUACUAAAGGUUUUGAUAUCCCUAGGAUAAAGUGUUCGAAAAAAAGAUAUCCCAAGGCUAAAACAAGAUAUAUCCACCAAAGGUUGAAAUAAAUUUGCAAGUAUCCAAUAAUUUCACAUGUCCUUCUGGUUUCUGUUUUGCCAAGUACGUCUUUAUUGCUUAUAUGUUCGGGUCAUAAAUAGGGUGAAAUUCUUCAACAUAUGCAUAUAUCACAUUGCCUUUUUUAUUAAAGGCCUACCAUUUUUAUAAAAAAUAAGGGAUCUAUUAAAUAAAAGAAAGUGUAUAGUAGUAAUCGUGAACGCAAGGUUAAUUCUAAUUAAUUUGCCACAGAUUAAAAGAAUGAAAAUUAAGAUGUUUUUUUAUUAAACUUGUCAUUGUGAAAAUUGUGAUAUCUCAAUUGCACGCGCAAACAAAAAGCUGAAGGAUAUUAUAGACAUUGCACAGCAAAAACAACAAUACAACACUCGCACAAUCCACAGAAUGCCAAACAACCCUAUCUUUUUACAAUUAAGAUUUUUGUUCAAUCCAACUUUUACAAAUCUGCAGUCUGCAAGCUGCUUUUUACAAGCUGAAAACAGUCAUGCCGUAAGGCAUGGAAAUUGUCAGUAUCCAAUUCACAUGUUCAUCCGUGUUCUCUAUUUUGUUUCAUUGUUCUCUAUUCAUUAUUUAGUUAUUACUUUUAGUUAUAUGUAAAGGGGAAAUUUAUCUCAUGCAAUUUCUUUUUGUGUUGGGGUGUUUAUCUCAAAAUGACCUAUUUAAUUUUAUUAGUUUCACACCAGCAUCUUUUAAUUGAUUUUAAUGUGCUCCAACUAACCAGGGAAGUAGACGUACUUUGCAGUUGGCAAGUGAAAUUUGAGUACUGCAGCUUUUUUUUAAUGAAACAGAAGGUACGCGCCCUACUGAUUAGUAUAUAUAUAUAUAUAUAUAUAUAUAUAUAUUAUGAAAAGGAAAAGUAAUAAAAGUUACAAACCCCAGAGGCAAAGAGGAAAAAAAAGGGAGAGAGAAGGGAGCAACAAACUAGACUGGGGAAGGAAGCAGCUAAGAAGAAAAAGGACGGGCUAGCUACAUUACAAGUUGUCUAGCCAUGAUUGCAUUUGGGGAAGGAGACUAGGCUUAGCUCUCAGUAGCAGCAAAGAGAAUUCUGAACUGAAUUUCCUCUAGCACCUUUCUACCGUAGGAUCAGUAUUAUUGAACAUCCAGUUGUUCCUUGUGGUCCAUAUACUCCAGGUCAUUAGGAUGAUAGCUUCCAUGAAGAAAGGAACUCCUAAUUGCUACCUGAAUCUUGACAUGGUCUGUAAAAUUGAUCUUGUUGUUGGUACUGUCACACCAAUGGAGGCCCAACAGGCUUUAGCAAAGUUACAGCGAAGAAACAGAUGAGAAGUUGUUUCCAAGCGUUGUAAGAUGCAAAGUUCACAGGUGAAAGAUUCCAGGUCCAUCCCUUCCCUUCUAAGCAGAUCUCUUGUAUUUACCCCAUCCUUGAUUAAGAGCUAGAAGAACACUUUGUGUUUCAUCUGACAUCUUAAUUUUCAGAUCCAUGGGAAAGUUGGGUGGGUGCUUCUGUGACCAAUAAUAUUCUUGUAUGCUUUCGCAGCAGAGAAGAUUGCAUUUCCCCAUUUGUAACCCCAAAGAUCAUUGCUGUCAUUCAUCUGGGUGCUUUCCACCAGAAGUGCUAGUUCCUGAAACUGCUGAUGCGCCUGAAUGGACAGAGGUAGGUGGAAAUUAUGGGAGGGGACGGUUGAGUUAUAAUUUGCCUGAAAGUGAUGUUGGUGUUUUUUGCAAAGGAGAAUAACUCCGGGUAUUUAAUCCUUGGGAUAUGAUCAUUCCAGUUGUCCUGGAGUGCUGCAGCUUUGUAGUCACUAUAUAAUUUAUCUUGUUGAGAGUUGUUUUACACAUCCAACAUAUGCUGAUUAUGUUAGGAUCUGAACUGUAACUCUCAUCGAGAGGAUGGCACUAGGAAGAGUUGGGGCAACUUUUUGAGUUUUCUUUCCACAAUACCAUGUCCAACCAAGGGUUGGGGAUACAUAUUUAUAGCUGGCCUAGCAGCCAACCAGCCAAGCAUCAAGGCAUAUGCUAGUCUAAGAGGCCUUUUUUGAUGCUAUCCUAUCUAGUCUAAGAUGCCUAGGACUGUCCUACCCUAAAAGUAGUCAACAAAAGUGGUGCUGCAGCAAGCAUAUGCUGCAGCCCCACUGUCCUCCAGUCAACAUAGCAGCUGCAGCACAAGGACACUGUCCUCCAGUCAACAUAGCAGCUGCAGCACAAGGACCAGCAGCUGCAGCACAAGGUACAACAGCUGCAGGUCAAGGACCAGCAGCUGCAGCACAAGGACCAGUAGCAAGAUAGGACCAGCAGCAAGACUUAUCCAGCAUUCUCCCCCUAAGUCUUGUGCAUCGUCUUGUGGGAAAGUUGGACCAUCCCGGUCCUGGAAUAGAGUUCAAGGAACUUGAUCCUCCCAAGGGGCUUGGUGAGUAGGUCCGCAAGCUGAUCCUUGAUGUUGAUGUAGCUCACCUUGAUGCUUCCUUCCUCCAAGCAGCCUCGGAUGAAGUGGUACCUCACCCGAAUGUGCUUGCUCCGCUCAUGGAAAACGGGGUUCUUUGCUAGGGCCAGAGCGGACUUGCUGUCCACCCUGAGCUCCACUGCUCUAGUGUCUCUGCCAAGGAGAUCACCGAGUAGUCGGGCAAGCCAAAGCGCCUGAGUCGAAGCAAUGGAGGCCGCUAUGUACUCGGCCUCGCAGCUGGACAGCGAUACCACCUGCUGCUUGACCGACUGCCAGCUAACGAGGCACUUGUCGAGGAAGAAGAGAAUUCCCGCUCGUGCUCUUGUUGGUGUCGAUGUCGCCGGCGUAGUCGCUAUCGCUAUACCCGACGAAGUGUGUCACCCCGGGACACCUCGGGUAGAAGAGAUCGUGGUCGAGGGUCCCCGCAACGUAGCGGACGAUCCUCUUCACGGCCUGCUAGUGCUCCGUCGUCGGUUGCUGCAUGAACCGACUGACGUAGCCGACGGAGAAAGCCAAGUCCGGUCGUGUGUGGGCGAGGUAGCGAAGGCUCCCCACAAGACGCCGGUACUGCGUAGCGUCUACCUCCUCCGUCGUGCUAUCGCAGCUCAGCUUCAACUUCUCCUCCAUCGGAGUGAGAGCUAGGUUGCAGUCGGUGAGCCCGGCUAGCUCCACGAUGCGCUUGGCGUAGGUGGUCUAUCGAAGCGUGAUCCCGGAGUCAUCCUGGUGCACCUCGAUCCCCAGGUAGAAGGAGAGAGACCCUAGGUCACUCAUCUGGAAGGUGGCCUUCAUUUCUUCCUUAAACGUAGCCACCUCCGCAGCCUUGGUGCCGAUGAUCACCAAGUCGUCGAUGUAGACACCCACCAGCAGGGCAUUUUCUCCAUUGCCCCGCCGGUAGAUGGCCGCCUCGUGCGGGCUUUGCUCGAAGCCCAUCCCUUUGACCGUGGAAUCCAACUUGGCAUUCCACGCCCUCGGUGCCUGCCGCAGGCCAUAGAGGGCCUUGCGCAAGCGCAGCACCUUGCCCUCCUUGCCGGGGAUCGCAAAACCCAGCGGCUGGUGCACGUAGACCUCCUCCUUCAAGUCACCGUUAAGAAACACCGACUUGACAUCCAUGUGAUGAAUGCGCCAGCCUUCCUAGGCGGCCAGCGCAAGGAGGACUCGCACGGACUCCAUCCGUGCCACGGGGGCGAAAGCAUCAUCGAAGUCGAUCCCCUCUUGCUGCACGAACCCGCGUGCCACCAAGCGAGCCUUGUGCUUGACGAUGGCACCGGCUUCAUCCCUCUUUAGCUUGAACACCCACUUAAGGGUGAUCGCACGGUGACCACGAGGGAGGUCAGCAAGCUCCCAGGUGCGGUUCUUCUCAACCGCGUCCAUCUCCGAUUGCAUCGUGGUGUGCCAUGCCGCGUGUCUCUCGGCCUCCGCGAAAGAUCGAGGUUCGCGGUCAUCGCACGCAAGGUGCAACUGUGCCUCCAGGUCGUGAGGCACCAGUCCCGGCACCGGUUGGUCGCCGAUGAGGUCUUCCAUCGUACGGUACCGCAACUGCUCGCCAUCGUGGUACGCGUCGACGCGCUCCUCGUCAUGAGAGAGCGGAGUAGCGAACUCCACCGGGCUGUACUCGACAUGAGCUGGUGUCGGAGUAGACGUGCCCGGAGGGGUGGCCGUUGGUGCUGGAGUAUGUGGCGUCGCCGGCUGUGGUGGUCCUGGCGAGAAUCUCAUCGCAGCCGAAGUCGCGGCUGGAGAGCGUGGCGCUGCCGGAGUAGCAGGCGUCGGAGUCGGUGGAGGUUUGGGGACUGGGGUAGGCACGCUCGGCGAAGAAGAGCCGCCUACUCCCCCAGCUCCCUCGAAGUGGACAUACUCGACAGUGAAGUCGUCGUACGUCGGAGUCGAACCGUCGUCCACCGCCUUGUCCCACGGCCAUCCUCGCCCUUCGUCGAACACAACAUCGCGCGCUGUGCGCACACGCUGUGUCUCCGGGUCGAGAAUGCGGUAGGUCUUCGAACCCUCCGCGUAGCCGAUGAACACUCCUGGAGUGCUCCUGUUGUCAAGCUUGCCGAUGUGGUCAAGCUCCUUGUCAAACACGAGGUAUCCGAAGACCCGCAGGUGGGACACCGCCAGCUUGCGCCCAUGCCAAGCCUCGUAUGGCGUCCUGCCAUCGAGCACCUUGGUGGGCGAGCGGUUGAGGAUAUAGACAGCCGUCACCACCGCCUCUCCCCAGAGGAUAGCCGGCAUCCCCCUCUGCUUGAGGAGGGCCAGAGUCAUCCCCACAACCGUCUAGUUGCGCCGCUCGACGAUGCUGUUCUAUUGUGAGCUAUAAGGCGCGGAGUAGUGGCGUUGAAUGCCCUCAUCAACGCAGUACGACGCGAAUUUAGCCGCCGUGAAUUCACCGCUGUUGUCGGUGCGCAGCACGCGCAGCUUGCGGCCGCACUCUGCCUCCGCAACCUCCCCCUUGCUGCCGAGGACCAUCACCCACAUGUAGCGGGAGAGGUCGUCGACAAGCAGCAAGAAGUAGCGUCGUCCUCCGGAUGUGGCCGGUGUCACCGGGCCACACAAGUCCCCGUGCACGAGCUCGAGCCACUCCUUGGCUCGGAAGCUCACCUGUUGGGGAAAGGGGAGCCGCCUCUGCUUUGUCAACACACAAACAUCGCAGAACUGCUCCACAUGAUCGAGACAUGGCAAGUCUCGCACCAUCUCCUUGGCACUGAGCCACUUCAGGGCCUCGAAAUGAAGGUGCCCGAAGGGCUCAUGCCACUGCCACGCCUUGUCAUCCCGAUAAGCAGCGAGGCAGAAGGGUUGUGCCACCUGCACAUUAAGGAUGUAGAGGUGAUUUGUGCCUCUGGUUACCUUGGCAAGAAGGUGACGAUGGCGGUCCCAAAUCCUCAUGACUCCAUCAUCGAUCACCAUGCGCGAACCGUUCUCUUCCAGCUGUCCCAGGCUGAUGAUAGAGUUCCUCAGCGCGGGGAUGUAGUACACUCCGGUGAGCAGCCAGUGCUCUCCAGACUCGGCGGUGAAGAUGACAGAGCCGACGCCCUUGAUCUCUAUGCCAGAGGCAUCCCCAAACUUGACGGUGCCUCGGACGCUAGAGUCAAGCUCGGUGAAGAACUCCCACCGACCGGUCAUGUGCUGGGUAGCGCCAGUGUCGAGGCACCACCCCUCAGUCUUAUCAUUGUUGGAGCCGUCGCCGAGGAAGGCGUGUGCCCUCGGUUCGUCAAGGUGGAGGAGAACCGCUGCGGCCGAUGCCGCUGGAGUUAGCUCGAUGCUUGCAUGUGCCAGGAGCAGAGCCGGCUCCUCCUCCUCCACUAGUGCAACGUGAGCCUGGCCGCGUCUUGGCUGUCGACAGUCCUUGGUCCAAUGGCCAAGCCUGCCACAGUUGCGGCACGUGUCGUCUCGUGGCGGCCUGUGCUCGCCGACGGCACCACCCUGGGCGCCUCCUCGCGCGCCGCCUUCGGCGCCUCAUCGCACCUUGGGCGCCUUGUGUGGCUUGCCGCGCCUGCGGCCGCCUGUCGAGGAAGAAGGCUCCCCUUUCUUCCGAUCACCCUGGCGGGCCUCCCACUGCUCCUGAGUGAAAUGGAGCUUCCCACCAAUGAUGACAGGCCCUGAGGGAGGCUAUGACUCAUCGCUGUCGACAACCUUGAGGCGACCUAUCGCCUCCUCGAUCGACAUCCUGGAGAGGUCCAGCAGAGACUCGAUCGAGUGAGCGAUCUGCUUGUACUUCUCGGGUAUGCAGCGGAGGAGCUUCUCGACAGCUCUCUCCUCGCCGUAGGUGUCGUCACCGUAAUGCACCAUCUUCUGCAACAAAGUGCUGAGACGGAGAGCAAAGUCAUCAACGUCCUCACCUGGCUUGAAGGCCAGGUUCUCCCAUUCCUUGCGAAGUGCUUGUAGUGUGGACUUGUGGGCGCGGUCUCUGCCGAUGCGUGCCGCAGCGAUGGCGUCCCAAGCCUCCUUGGCAGUCCGCUUCUAGGAAAGCGAGAAUUGCAUCUCGGGCAGGACUGCAGUGAUGAGGGCGUCCAGCGCCCGUCGAUCGUCGUUGUAGUCGACGUCACCGUACCAGAUUGCCUCCCAGAUGUGCCGCACCUGGAGCCUCACCCUCAUCACCGCGGCCCACUCGACGUAGUUGGUCUUGGUGAGGGUAGGCCACCCACCACCAGGGCCGACUUCCCUGACAACAGCCUGGGCCCCGUGGCGACCAUGACGGCGAUCCGGGGAGGGAGAGCUGCGCUGCCUAUAAGGGCCGCGCCCUUUGUCGACCCGGCCACCGCGCCGCCGAUCGAACUCCAUCUCUGCCUCCAACUGGGCUGCCCUCUCCCGCAAUCGCUGGACCUCCAGUGCGAGGUCCAUGUGCGGGUCGCCCUGGGAGUCGCGGUCACCAUGUCCGCCAGGAACACAGUCGUCGCGCGCGCCCCUGCCGGGAGCGCCGCCGGCACGUGCACGCCCGUCUGGGCUACCGCCACCACGCCCGCGGGGUUGCUGGGCUGCCCACUGCGCCGCCCGUUCCUGCGCCGCCUCCCUUGCUAGCACGAGCUCUACAUCGGUACCGCCAUCGGCAGAGGUAGCGCUGCUGAUGCUACCGCCACGUAGAGUCUCGAGCUCCGCUGCCGCCACACGUGCGGCAUCUGCCACCGCCGCUGCUUCCACUUCCGUCCUUGCUGCAGCCAGCUCCACCGCCGCCAGCCUCGACGCCCUUGCCGCCACCACAGCGGUCUCCGCCACUACUCGGGUACGCUCCUCUGCCGCAGUGAGCUUGGCCUCCUGCCGACGCCGCGCGCUUGAGGCGACCGAGUGCUGAGACUGUCCUACGGACAUAGCGCGCCACCGAGGGGCUGCAUGGGGAAGAGGCUGCUUCCGAUGAGCUGCCGCUCGUCUGCGUAGAGGGAGAGGAGUAAGCAGGGAUAGCCGGUGUUUCUGCUAUCGGCUGGGGAUGAAAGGUGGCUGGGGAGGGUUGUGAGCAGGAGAUGUUCAAGCUACAGGAUAGUACGGCUCUGAUACUAGUUGUUAGGAUCUGAACUGUAACUCUCAUCGAGAGGAUGGCACUAGGAAGAGUUGGGGCAAUUUUCUAGAUUUUUCUUUCCACAAUACCAUGUCCAACCAAGGGUUGGGGAUACAUAUUUAUAGCUGGCCUAGCAGCCAACCAGCCAAGCAUCAAGGCAUAUGCUAGUCUAAGAUGCCUUUUUUGAUGUUGUCCUAUCUAGUCUAAGAUGCCUAGGACUGUCCUACCCUAAAAGUAGUCAACAAAAGUGGUGCUGCAGCAAGCAUAUGCUGCAGCCCCAUUGUCCUCCAGUCAAUAUAGCAGCUGCAGCACAAGGACACUGUCCUCCUGUCAACAUAGCAGCUGCAGCACAAGGACCAGCAGCUGCAGCACAAGGUACAACAGCUGCAGGACAAGGACCAACAGCCGCAGCACAAGGACCUGCAGCAAGACAGGACCUGCAGCAAGACUUAUCCAGCAGAUUAUUACACUACCAUCAUUUUUUUGAACUAAGUGACCAAAACUGCCAGUUCAUGAAGUUUAUUCUUUUGUGUUAUAAGGCAAUAUUUGGCCUGAAGAUAAAUUUUAGUACGGGUGAUAUUGUGUUUGAGGAGAAACUGGUGGCCUCGCUGGCAGCUGUUUUGCACUGGCCCAUGCCCAAGAAGGGCCUGCCAUAAUUGGACGAUGAGUUCAUGAGCAACCUGGCAUAGGGGUAGAAGGCUCACAACUCGCCUGUGUUGUCGACCAUAGCUGCCUCUUUCAGUAGUGUUGGUGUUCUGUUUGUCUGCAGUCUGCUGAAGGGUGUGUGUUGUUUUAGUCUAGUCGACUAUGUUGGUACUUGGUAGUUGAGCUAGGUUCUGGGAGGGUCGAGAAAUUGUCGGCAUAACCCCGGCAUGACAGUGGUCUAGUCAAGCUUUUCUAUAAAGCUGUGCAAUAAUGGUCUUUGAUAAAACAAUAUUGCCAUUUCCGUUUCAGAGAUGGACAAGUCUAGCUAUCUUGUGACCUUUGCUAUAGGCAGCAGGAAAAAAAAACUUUUUUAUUCAACUUGCACCAAACAGACGCGCGUUAAUUACACACUGCUUAAUGUGGGCAGCAGCAAUCCCAUUUACCAUUCCGUCUCUUAAUACAGAUGGCACGAUAGCCAUCAAAGCCGUUUGCUCCGCACAUCCAUUUGCAGUCUUCAGUCAAGCAGUAUACGUCAUUGUAGGGGUAGCACGUUUUCUUUGUCCAUGGCCACCACCACAACGGCCGUGACGGCGGUCGUGGAGCCACCGUCGCUCGCCGUGGUGGGGGAGAAUGGCGGUGCCGGGGCGCCUGGGGCUGGGGCUGGGGCUGGUCUUGGCCUACAUACAAAUGCAACGCAAUAUGCAAUAAUUAAAUCACGUUGAUUUGUUGUUAGCAACCUGAAUAUUUAAAAAACAAAAUAAUGUGAAGUAGUGAUACCCACCUUGGCAUGAUGGGGAGGUUGAAGAUAUGAUCGUAAGGAUCAGGAAAACAACAGCUGUAAGGUAAAUGGCUCUCUUAGUAUUGCAUCUGGCGAGGGCCAUGAGAUGAGAUGAGAGAAGACUCUCCCUUAGUAUUGCGUUGAGAGAGAGGUGUGCAAGUGUUUAUAUAGAAGUACAAUAAAAUCUCAAGCUAUCAUAGUAUCUCAAGGAUAUUUUCCCCUGAGGCAUGAUAUCCUCUUAGCUAGUAGUAGGUUCAAAUGAACUUGUGAGUAUAUAUAGUAUUUCACAAGCCCAAAGAUCUGCAUUCUCAAUUGUCUCAUUAUUUUAUUCAGUGUUGUAUUAAUAAUUGUUUGGUUUCUGAGGAACACAAAUUAAAUACAGUGACACCUUUCCAACAUCUAACACCCUGAUUUCAUUUUGUUUCAAGUUCUAAAAAAAUCUUAUUUUCUUCUUAAAGCAAGGAGUCUUUCAUUAAAACAAAGCAGUUUCUAUCUACAAUGGUCAUUGGGGAGUAGGAGACAGACAGCAGCGCACAAAACCUUUAAUCCCAAUGGAUAGCAAGUGAUGCCUGACAUGGGUUGCCCAUGUCAAUAUAUAUGGGCCCACAUGUGCACUGAUCCAUUAGCAAAGCUGAAACAUCAUUAAGACCCAGGAGUAAAGAACCCAGCCCCAAGUGCACAAGGCUAUCCACAAAAUAACCUUUAUUCUUUAUUAAGAAUUUGUCUUACAGGGUGAACGAAUUUCCCACCGUCACACGUGCACACAACAACAAGAACAACAUUUCGCAAAAAAGAAAUAAGAGCAACAACCCACUCAAAAAAAGAAGAAGAACAGCAACAAUUGCUUCAUGUUUACACAAACGAUUAAUUGCAUGCCUUGCGAUUGCUCAACUCAUCGUACGGCUGCUGCCUGACAGCUAUAGGAGUCCACAGCAAAGCUAGUGCCCAGCAGCUGCUGCGGUCUUGGUGAGGCCCCAGCAGUGCAGGACGCUGCCGGCGACGUCGAAGAAGGCGAGGUGGGCCUCCGUCUUGCUCAGCCGCAUCGACAUGAACCCCUGCCCGUCGUAGAGGAACUCCACCUUGUCCGGGGUCGCCUUGAACUUGCCAGCCCACGCCUUCGACCCGCCCCCACUAGUCAGGAACUGAAGAGGACUGCAAUAUUUUUUUUUUGGAGGUUUCAGAACAUACAGAUCAACGAAAAACUUCCGAAAGUUCUAGAACCAUGUCUCUCUCUCUCUGUCUCUGAUGUAAACUACUGAUGUAUGCUAACCUGUCUCUGCUGGUGAUGCGCUGCAGGCAGUGGUCAUGGCCGUUCACGUACAUGUCGGCGCCAUGGGCCUGCGUUGCAUCGUCAUCGUGAAGCAAAUCAGUUUCAGAGUUACUGGACACUACUACUGGUAAAUUGUUUUGAUUGAAUGCCGAUAAGAGAAGACGAGAUGUCAAUGCCUUGAUGACUGGGAGAAGUAACUCCUCGAGCUCAGUGUUGUUCCCAUGCCCACAGCCGCUGCUGAUGGGGUGGUGGCCGACGACGAUCUUCCAGGGGGCCUUGGAUUGCGUCAGAGCGUACUCCAGGUUCUGGCAAAGAUUUCAGCAAUUUCAUAAUCAUCAGAGGAGGCAAAAUGCUCACCAGAUGACAUGAGUCAUCUAUGUUGGUAUACUGCAAUGGUGGAUACCUUGAGGAGAUUUGUGAUGUAGGUGUCCCGAGGAGCAACCCCUCUCCAAUCGAACUUGGUGUUGUUCCAGUAGUGGAGGAUGAACGGCGUCGUGUCGACGAGGAAGAAAUCCGCAAUUCCUUCAUUCGUUGAAAAAAAAAAGAAUAAACAUAGGUAAAAGUUUGUAUUAGAAAGAGUAGAUUAUACCCCUUUCCUUGUAAAGUUAUGACAGUAGAAAGGUUUUUGACUAGGCAGUUAUUAGUGUGCAAGAAUGCAUCAGUGGUCCCAGAGUACUUCAUUUGAUUACCUGAGUUGACGAUGAAGGACUUUGCGAUGACGGUGUACCGGCUGUCCACGUUGCGAAUGGCAGGGUCCAGCUGGGCGAGCGCAUUGCCCGUGUAGUCAUGGUUGCCAAGGACUUCAUAUUGAUGUCAAAGACACAGCAGGAUUAGUCAUCAUCAUCAGUCUUCUUCAGUGUUCAGAACAUGUACAAGUAGGAUGUAUACUAGCUGUUGCAUUACCGAGAUACCAAGGCUUCUGGAGGCCCUUGGCAGUGUAGAUGUUGGAGAAGGACUCCUUGAAGAGUGGGUCGCUGGUGUUGGCGAUGCCGUCAUCGUAGAUGUUGUCGCCGGUCGAGAUGACGAAGUCGAUGUCCAUCUUCUCCCCCACUACUCCCAUCUGCACAGUGGGAACAAUAAACCUGAUUCAAGGUGUGUUUGGUUGCAUGCACCAGUUGAUGCAUGCAUGGAUGAUCCUGGAUGGUAGGGUUCAACCAAUUUGCUUGUACCAUAUGGUUUACUUCUAUUAGUAGAAUAAUAUAUUAAGUGGGAUUGCUUCAUCCUCGAUGGGUUGGUACGAUUCACCCAACCAAAUAAAAGGAUCAUUUUUUUUGAACCAUUCCAUACAUGAAUCAAAUAAUACAACCAACCAAACACACCCUCAGUGAUCUGUUUAGGCUCAGGAGAAGGACCAGCGUGUGCAGCAGCGCUAAUAACAUUGGACGGUACGUAAUGUAAUGACGUGUUGCUCGUUAGUUAGAAUGCAAUAAUUGAGUUUAUUUGCAUCUGUCUUAGGUCAUUACUGCUUCAACCGAAGAACAGUGUGAUCGUACCAAGUGGAUAACUCAAUCUAUCCACUUUCGGCUAGUUAUGAACGAGGAGCCAUGACCACCAUGCAUAUGGCAAGAACUUACUGGGGGACCAUGCAUGUGUAUAAGAGCCUCCAUCAUAUCAUAUCAUCGCUCGACGAAAUGUGGCAUAUUCAAAAAAGCCAUAUCUUUCUGUUUUCAUUGGACUAAUUUAAGUACCAUGACCCAAAACAUGCUCUCGGAACCUACAAACUGUUGAUAAAUUUCGUGUAAACUUAGGGAUCACUUAAAUCAAAACAAAGUGUAAACCAAAUGAUUAGAGGCCGGAUCCUACAAAGCUCUUGUAAUUUUUGGCUAUAUAUAUCCAAGUGUGGAUAUAGAGGUCGGAUGUUUGUCCAUCAUUAAAAAAUGAUCGCUGAGGUAUAUGAAUCCAGCUGGAAGCCAAGAUGGCGUUUUUUGACUGAGCCAGCGGCUAGAGUGGUGCUAGAGAGCUAGAUGACUAGGCCUACUGUUCGGGUUGUCGGUCAUUAGACUAGAGUUUAGGGAAACUGGACCAUUGUAAACACAACUCGCCUAUUUCGUUCAUGCAUCACUUUAUAAUUUGAAUAAAAAAAAUAUGGCACUUCCUCUGACCCAAUAAGUUGAUCCGUAGCAAAAAAAAAAAAUUGUCCCCACAAAGAGUUGAUUUUUAGCACGUCCACACUAAGUGGCCGCUUUAACUCUUUCCCGAAACGCUAUGCAUGUGUGUGUAUUUAGCUUGGUUUCUAGAUUUUUUUAAUUAAUUUCACCACAUGCAUUGUUCUAGGUGAUCGAACAACAAUUAAAUUGAGCUUCGGUGACGAAAUAGACACCUAAAAACAGAGUGGCCUUAAAGGAGUAUCUGAUUAAUGAAGGGCAAAUAUAUCCUCUCUUCAAUAUGCUAAUCUAUCUGAAACUUUCUAGAAAUCAACUUAUUUUGGGACAGGAAAGAGUUAAUGCAACAAACAACCGUGGCGAAGAAAAUGGACCCCCACAGUCCUACUCGUGUGCUACUAGAAAUUUGCACACCCUCUAGGCACUCUGGUGGCCUCGGCCCUUUGAUUUUUUUUUUCACAUCCAUAUUAAUUUUGUUGCAAAUGAGAAUUAACAAUAGCACCAACUAUGGUUCUUUUACUAUCGAUCAUGCGAAAGUUUACCAAUUUCUUGAUCAAUUAUUUUUGCUCACCAUCAAAGUCCCCCCCAUAUAGCUGAUUUUUUUUGUAAUACACAAUGAAGAUUUUUUUUUUUUGGCUAGCUCAAGGAACCGAAUCAACACGCACGUGCACACACACAACCCACACUGAGAGGAAACUAAGUGGAGGCACAAAUGGCUCAUGUAUGCUCACUGAACACAGAUGCUUAUCUGUGUGAUUGGUAGGGUGCACUAGCGGGAGCCUGGCUAAGAUGAGUAGCUCAUGGCCAGCCCAAGCCUGGCUUACGCGGUCAUUUUGGCCCGUGCUUGGUUCGAUGCUCUGUGAAGCUUGCCUUGGGUGUGGUGGUGAUUGGUUGGGUGCGUUACAAGAAUCGGGUUACCUUGUUUUUGCUUAGGUGAGCUUACCCACGGGCUCCUGCACCUUGCGCAUGGAGAUGACUGACAAGUCCUCCGAUUCCACCAAAUGCAACUCCGAUUCCACCGAAUCCGGCCACGAUUUGCAUCUUGGGGAGAGCUCGAUUUGAUAAUAUAUUUCACCGAACUCCGAUUCCAGCUUGUGCUGGUCGGUUGAGGCGCAGGAGAGCAGGAGCGGCGUGAAGUGGAAGGGGAGCUGGAUGGAGCGGGGGAAGGCGCGGAGGCGGCAGCCGGUGCAGAGGAGUGUGUCGCAGUCGGCGCCGGCACCGGUGAUGCGGACCUCCAGCGGGCGCCCGACGACGCCGGCCGCGCCGCGGCGGACACCAGGCUCGGGGCGACGCGGCCGCCGGCGGCGGCGACCCUGGCGUCCGCACGGAGCGCGAGCACGCAGGUGAGGUGGUCGGCGGCGGCGACGCUCGGGAACGGCGCGACAGGAGGACACCCGCGGCGCGGCGCUCGGAGGCGAGAUCCCCGCGCUGCAGCAGGUCGGAGGAGGAGUGCUCGAGUGCGGCAGCGUGAGGAGGUAGGCGACGCGUCAGACCUUAGAAGGUGAGCGGAACGAGCAACUUGGCCCCGUGAGGCGCUAGCCAGGUUGCACAAGCGGUAACGAGCUUGAUCUGCGUUUCCAGGUACGCGCCGGACCGACCGGUCUUUUUGCAAAUCUGGCUAACUCACUAUGCAGCCUUCCAAACAUGGAUGGGCUGCAUUACACAAGCCUGGGUAGAGGCAAUGCACCCUACCAAUCAUUACCUAUGUGUAUGCGCAACACCACCGAAUCAAGAUCCUAGCGGUCCUGGUGGGUUGUAUACCAAUGAAAUGGCACAAGCUAUCUAGCUAAUAAUCAUCUUUAGACGAUGUUUUCUAUCCAUGUAGGGGGAAAAUUCACUUUGCAAUAAGGCAAAUCAUAUUAUUUUUACUUUUAACAGUUUUCGAUAUGGAACUUUGACCAUUACUUCCGUAAAUUAUUUGCUAGCUAGUAAUAGAAUUAUAACAAGAGGAAAUACACAAACAAGCUGAGUUUUCGUCUAGCUGAUAUGUACUACAUGGUUUUACUCUUUUAGAUGUAGUGACUAAGCUAGCUGUAGCAUCAUAUAAAGUUCAAUCAUCAGUAAUCAAGUUGCAGUGACUGCAGCUAGCUGCAGCUGUGGUUCGAGAUGCACGGGUUAAUAACGUCCUUACCGAAAGCGAAUCGAGCGAGACAGACUGAGGGUUUACAUGAGCAUGGACGCAUCAAUGCAUGGCUACAGAGCUGAGGGUUCUACGGCUGGUUUUACCUGCUGGGCAACCAAGGUCUGGUUGAACUGCCCGCGCCGCCCCCAGUCACCGACGACGAGGAUGGCGAGCGACCCGUCGGCCUUCGGCGGGUGCUCCAGCCGUGGCAGUGCCGCCGCCACCUGAAGCAACGCCACCACCGCACCCAAAGCGACGAGCAUGAUCCCAACCCGAGCCAUGGCACUCCAACACUGGUGGCAAAGGCGAAGCUAGCUCUAGUGUUCGUGUGCGUGAGUGUCCAAAGCGUGAAGAGCUCCCGUUCAUUUAUAGUCUUGUUUUGGCGCGAGACCAAUAAUUCGAGGUGGGCCCAGCUUGUCGGCUGAUCUGUGUGCGGCUGCCACGUGGGCCCGGGGCGCCGGUUGGAUCGGAGGCUAAUAACCGUGUGAUGGGGUAGGGUUUGGCUGGUGAGCGUACGUGGUCGUUGACAGCGCAUGUACUGCUCGCGGCAUUCAAGGACGGUUGGUGCGUCAGCAACUGAAACACGGAUAAGCGUCGUGCAUGAUAGGCGAUUAACAGGAGCAGAAAAAUGAUUUUUGCUUGCGAUUAACGUUGAUGCGGUGAGGGAUCCGUUAUCAUCUUUAGUGAGAUGGGGAUAUGUGCAAGGGCAGAAGUUAUUAAAAGUUGGGUUUUGUGGGAGACAGAGAGAGUGCAUAUGCCAUCUCCAGUCACCAGUAGAGAACUCGGUAUUAAUCCCGAUUGGUAGGAUGCAAAUCUCCUGAAAAUCCAUCCGGGAUAAACCAACAGGAACAAAAGGGGGUCUUUUAUCUCGGGUCACUCAACCGGGACUAAAGAUCCCCUUUUAUCCCGGUUGGUAAUACCAACCGGGAUAAAAUAGGGCACCAUGCCAGGCGCUGCAAAAAAAAAUCCUGGGAGGGCCCCCACGUCGCAAGUCACAAGUCACGCGAUUUAGCUUCCUUGCCAUCCCACCUACACAGCACAUCUGACUAUGUAGGGGAUGCAAUCCUUUUAUAUUAACUCGUGGGGGACCCUUUUAUCCUGGUUGGAGUUCGAGAGAUUUAGUCCUCUUUUAGCCACCCCGUUAGGGAUCCUUUUAUCCCAGUUUGUAAUACCAACCGGGAUAAAAGAGGGUCUUUUAUCCCAGUUGGUAUUACAAACCGGGAUAAAAGGCUCUCGACCCUUUUAUCCCGGGGAUCUUUUUGAUAGGACAUCGCAGGUUCGGUCGGUGGAGUUUGCGCAAGGCAGCGACGCGCAGUGCCGAGUCCGGUCGCCGGUGAGGUGGCGGUGGUGCUUCCCGCCGCUACUGCGCAACCUAGAUCGGUAGGUGUGUCGGUGGGGCGGCUGGCUGUGGCGAACCUCGUGAGCCGAGCCGGGUCCCCCACCCUGUUUAUAUAGCGCAGUGCGACAGGGACCCACCACCCAUUGCUAGGGUGAGCGCCCCCGAUCAGGGCGCUGAUCAAGGUCCCGAUGGGCCUUUGGGCCCAUUGGGAAGGAGAUCAAUCUAACAUUCUCCCCCUUGAUCUCAUCAUUUACUUUUAGCUUUACACUUUUCACUUUUAUUCGUUUCAUCGUAGAUUAAUAUGUAGAGCAUGUUUCAUCAUCACAGCUUAAUUGCCGAUAGAAUCAACAGCUACAACACACCUCUCUAUUUUGAAACAAUUCUAUUUCUUUUGGGCCUUAUCCAAUCCAGGAAUCAUAGGCUUUCCCUUAAACCCAUGCCGGCUAAGUGUUCUCUGAACACAUUGGGAGGUAAGCCUUUCGUGAGCGGAUCCGCAAGCAUAUCUUUUGUUCUUAUAUGCUCGAGACUUAUAGUGUGAUCCUGGAUUCUGUCUUUCACAACAUAAAACUUUAUCUCAAUGGCUUUGGAAGCAUUGCUUGAUUUGUUGUUGUGAGCAUAGAAUACUGCUGGUUCAUUGUCGCAGUACAUCUUUAGUGGUCUGUGAAUACAGUCAAUCACUCUCAAUCCGGGUAUAAAUUUCUUUAGCCACAUUGCCUGCCCUGUGGCCUCAUGACAUGCUAUGAAUUCUGCAUGCAUCGUUGAUGACGCAGUUACUUUCUGUUUUGAGCUUCUCCAUGAGAUAGCUCCUCCUGCGAGAGUGAAUACGUAUCCAGACGUGGAUUUUCUAUCAUCUUUGUCUCCCGCAAAGUCUGCAUCUGAAUACCCUUUUAUCUCUAGGGAAUCAGAUCUCUUAUAUGUAAGCAUGAGUUCUUUUGUGCCUUGCGCGUAGCGCAACGCCUUCUUUACCAUCUUCCAGUGUUCUAUACCUGGAUUACUUUGAUAUCUACCAAGAACCCCGGUGACAAAAGCUAAGUCAGGGCGAGUGCACACUUGGGCAUACUGUAAGCUUCCGACAGCUGAAGCAUAUGGAACCGCUUUCAUUUGAUCGAUCUCGUACUGGUUCCUGGGACAUUGAAAAUUCUCAAAACUGUCGCCCUUGACUAUAGGAGCAGGUGUGGCCUUACUCGCAUGCAUAUUGUACUUCUUUAGAACCUUUUCUAAAUAUGCCCUUUGCGAUAAUCCAAGGACCCCAUUCAAUCUAUCUCGGUGAAUUUCUAUGCCCAAAACAUAUGUUGCUUCACCAAGAUCCUUCAUAUCGAAGUUUGAGGACAAGAACUUAUUUGUCUCUUGCAGUAGACUGAUAUCACUGCUUGCAAGUAAAAUAUCAUCCACAUACAGGAUUAGGAAAAUGUAUUUCCCAUUUUUGAACUUUGCAUAGACACAAUUGUCCUCUAUAUUCUCUUGAAACCCAAAUUUCUUUAUUAUAUCAUUAAACUUUAGAUACCACUGUCUAGAGGCCUGCUUUAAUCCGUAAAUGGAUUUCUUUAGACGACAUCCCAUAUUCUCUUUGUCUUCCAUGACAAAACCCUUUGGUUGUUUCAUGUAGACAUUUUCUUCUAAAUCCCCAUUUAGAAAUGUCGUCUUUACAUCCAUCUGAUGUAACUCUAAAUCAAAAUGUGCAACUAGUGCCAUUAUGAUUCUGAAGGAGUCUUUACAUGAGACAGGAGAAAAAGUCUCAUUAUAAUCUAUUCCUUCUCUUUGUGUAAAACCUUUUGCCACAAGUCUCGCCUUAUACCUUUCUAUAUUCCCUUUGGAGUCACGUUUAGUCUUGUAGACCCAUUUACAACCUACUGUUUUGGCUCCUUUAGGAAUCUCCUCAAGUUCCCAAACAUUGUUGGAACUCAUCGAUUUCAUCUCAUCUUCCAUGGCCUCUAGCCACUUCGAUGAGUGAACACUUUUCAUGGCUUCCUCAUAUGAAGUGGGAUCACCUUCUAUAUGAACUUCUUCUGUAUUAUAAACUUUAUAACAAUCAGGGAUAGCUGAUUUUCUGACCCUUUGAGACCUUCUAGGCCCCUCACUUUCGGGCACAUUCUGUGCCUCUGCUUGUGGCACACUAUUCAGAGGUGGCUGCUGCAACUCUUCCUCGUGUGUAAUGAUGGGUUCAGUUGGCUCCUGAAGGACAGGUUCCAAAACUUCACUCAUCGUUUCCACUGGUGGAAUCACAGCAGGUGCCUGCACCACAAUAUCAGGGACUGUAGCGGGUGCUUGCACCACGACCUCAGGAACUAUUGGUGCGGGAAUAAUAGGUAGUGAGAAGUAUGGUUCCUGAAUCAUCAGAUUAGGUGCACACACCCGCUUCUCCUCAAGAUCAAUCUUUCGAGCUACCAUGCUCCCCCUCACCAUCUCAUCCUCUAAGAAAAUCGCCUGUCUCGUUUCUACAAACUUUGUAUAUCUGCCUGGACAGUAGAAACGAAAACCCUUUGAUUUUUCCGGAUAGCCAAUGAAGUGGCAACUUACUAUUUUGGGAUCUAGUUUCCCGAUGUUUGGGUUAAAUACUUUGGCCUCAGCUGGGCUCCCCCACACACGCAGGUGGUUUAGUGAGGGUACUCUUCCUGUCCAUAGUUCGUACGGUGUUUUGGGCACCGAUUUACUUGGCACUCUAUUUAGAAUGUGAAUGGCGGUCUUCAGCGCCUCCAUCCACAGUCCCAAUGGUAAGGUGGAAUAGCUCAUCAUGCUGCGCACCAUAUCCAUCAGUGUACGGUUACGCCUUUCAGCUACUCCAUUUUGCUGAGGCUCGCCCAGCAUCGAAUACUGGGCUACUAUGCCAUUUUCCUGCAAAAACCUUGCAAAAGGUCCAGGAACUUGGCCAAAUGGGGUAUGUCGACCAUAGUACUCCCCCCCACGGUCGGAUCUUACUAUUUUGAUUCUUUUGUUAUGCUGAUUUUCAACUUCAGCUUUAAAUAUCUUAAAUUUAUCCAACGCUUCUGAUCUUUCUUUGAUUGGAUAAAUGUAACCAUAACGGGAGUAAUCAUCUGUGAAUGUUAUGAACAAGUCAUAGCCAUCCACGCUUUUCACAGGAAAAGGUCCACAAAUAUCAGUGUGGAUUAUCUCUAAAACUCCUGUGCUACGUUUAGCGCCUUUUUUAAUUUGCUUUACAAAUUUUCCUUUAAUGCAAUCAACGCAUUGUUCUAAGUCUGAGAACUCUAAUUGAGGAAGAAUUUCAUUCUUAACUAGUCUUUCUAUUCUCCCCCUCGAAAUAUGGCCUAAACGACAGUGCCAUAAUUUCGACGAUAUUUCAUGAGUUCUCUUUCUUUUCUUUGUUUCUUUCUCUGACGAGGAUACAUUCAUAUUCACAUCACACACAGAAUUUACUUUUUCACGCAAUGAUAAUAAAUACAACUCAUUGUGAAGGAUGGCAACACCAACACAUGCAUUAUCGAACCAAAUGGCACACUUUCCAUUUCCAAAAUGACAUUCAUAACCAUCAUGGUCCAAACGUGAAAUACUUAUCAAGUUUCUGUGUAAUGAAGGAACAUAAAGCACAUCUCUAAGUACAAGCAUGAAACCAUCAACUAGCUCUAGAGAGACAUCGCCAACAGCUUCAACUUCUGCUUGGACUCCAUUUGCGACUUCAACGCAUCUUUCGCUUCUUUGCGUAGUCCUCGUCGAACGGAAUCCCUGUAAAGAAUUUGCAACAUGAACAGUUGCACCUGAGUCAAUCCACCAAGUAGAUUUCGAAUACUGUGUAUACAAAGAUUCAUUUACAAAAGAAAUAGUAUUCUCACCUCUUUUUGCCAUUAUUGACUUUAACCAGUCGGGACAGUCUUUCUUGAAGUGCCCCUUUUUCUUGCAGUGUAGACAUUGAUCUUUGUCUACUGUGAGAGGCUUUUGGUGAUUCUGCUGCAUAGGAGCUUUUCCUCGUGCCUUGAAAGAGGGGUUAGCAAUCUUUUUCCUGUUAUCCUUCACAUAGUGCAAUGAGCCACCAUAUGAGGAUCUAAGUCUAUCCUCUUCCUGCACGCACAUGGCUAUCAUUUUUUCCAUGUCCCACUGUUCUGGUUGCAUGUUAUAAUUGACAACAAAAGUGUCAAACUCUUUAGGCAGAGAAGCAAAAACCAAAUGAAUAAUGUGCCCAGGCUUGAGCUCAAGAUCCAUAGGCUUCAACUGUGCUGCCAAGUUAUACAUCCUCAUGAUGUGAUCUCUUAUGCUAGUCCCUCCUCCAUUGUACCUCUCUGUGGCCAGCUGCUUGAACAGCUGGGUAGCAUAUAUCUUUGAGGAACCAGUGAACUGAUUCCUUAUCUUGUUGAGGUACUCGGAGACGGAGUCACACUCUGCGAUCGAGCCCAAAAUGGCAGGCUCAAUCGUAUUCUUUACCAAAGCCAUACAUUUCUUGUUGGCAGUGGUCCACUGUUUGUUUUCAAGGGUGUAUGCCAACUCCAGUGGAGCAUAGUCCCUUUCCUUUUGCUGCCAUGCAGCAUCAUCAUCACCGUCAGCCCUCACUGGCUUCUAUGGAGCUUGUGGCCGCGGUGUGGUCAGCACCCAGUCAACUUCUCCACAAACGAAGGAGAACUCAAUUUUCUUCCUCCAUUCUGUAUAGUUGUUGCCUUUCAAAAUGGGUAUCUCUUUGAGACAAGCCAUUAAGUUGAAUGAUCCUAAAAUUUACAAUGCAUAAGUGAGAUCAUAACAACAAUUGCAUGAUUUAUCUCCAACGUUGGUCAAAAAAAUAAAACAUGCAACUGUUGAUGCAAUUUAAAACUAUAUCACCGUUGGGCAGAAAUAGAAAUAAAAGCAUCAGAAGAACUUUUUAAAUCAUGAUACAGUUAUUAACAACGUUGGUCAGAAAAGAACAGCACCAUGAUCUAAUUAACUUUAUCAUGCUCUCACAAAAUUUAAUUGUCUCGUUGGUUCAAAUUAAAUUUAAAUGGAGCAAUAAAUAUGACUUUUGCAGCGGAAAUUGUGAAAUAAAUCUAUUUCAGAAGCAAAACACUGUACAAACUUUAUUAAUCUCUAAUACAAAUUAUCCCGUUGGUUCAAAUUAGAUUAGAGACUAAAACUAUGCAAAAAACAUCAACUAAAUGCUUCUGGAAAUAGAAAAAACUAUUUAUCAGACGUUACUGUGCAAAUCGCGAAUUUCGGCCCAGCCGCGAAAACGGCCCAUAGUCCAUUCCUGCGCGCGGCCCGUAUACGCGACGCCAUCGGCCCGCUAACGUGGCCCACGAAAACUGCCCGGCGCUCGGCCUCCCGCGCAGCCGCGGUUAGCAGGCCGCAACCUGGGCUUGGGCCGCGAAAGCAGCCUGCUGCCGCGUCCCGCCUGGGCCGAAACUGGCCCGGACGAUCUCGACCGCCCGUCCAAAUCCGACGGUCAGGCGUCAAUCGCGGUGGAUCAAAAACCGGCCGACGGCCGACCCCUGGAAACCCUAGCUCAUUUCCUUCUUUCCCCCGUGAGCGCCCGCCGUGGCGGCGGCGGCGGGGCCGUCUCUCCCGCGCCCGGCGAUGGCCGGCAGCGGCGGUGGAGGGAUGGCCCCGCCGGUGCAUGGCCGCGGCAGCCCCCUCCCCAUUCUUUUCUAGCCUCCCCCCUUCCUCCCUCCGAAACUCCGAAAAGUCGAGAUCCAGAGGGCCAUGGCGACCAUGGAGAAGGGCCGGCGCCACCGCGGGUCCCCUCGCCGGCGCGCGCGUCCACCCCGAGGGUUGGGCGCGCCGCCGUCGAGCGGUCCUUUGGUGGUGCUAUUGCGCCCCCCCCCCCCCCCCCCAAACCCCGAGCGGAUGCGCCGGCGGUUUCGGGUGGACUUGUUCCCCGGCGAGCCCCGAGGCUCGGCCGGCCUUUGCCACUCGCCGUCGGUGGACGUGCGGCGGUGAGGGCGACAGCAGGUAAGUCUCCCCGCAUCCCUCUUUUCUUUAGAUCUAGGGUUAGGGUUAGGGUUUCAAGUUUCUGUUUCUUUUCUAUCUUCUUCUUUUUCUCGAUCUACUUCUUUUCCCGAUCUAGAAGGGCUUCUAGGAGGUGUCUGAUACCAUUGAUAGGACCUAGCCUAGGAUCUCUAGAUGCACAUCUAGUCGGGAUCGUGAGAGAGAUGAGGGACAUGGUGUUCCUGGUGUGUGUGCCGAGAGUGAGAGAGAGAGAUAGGGAUACCUUCACCCCUAGAGGUGGGAGCAGCAGAGCUGCUGGCCAUCGCAGGUUCGGUCGGUGGAGUCUGCGCAAGGCAGCGACGCGCAGUGCCGAGUCCGGUCGCCGGUGAGGUGGUGGUGGUGCUUCCCGCCGCUACUGCGCAACCUAGAUCGGUAGGUGUGUCAGUGGGGCGGCUGGCUGCGGCGAACCUCGUGAGCCGAGCCGGGUCCCCCACCCUGUUUAUAUAGCGCAGUGCGACAGGGGCCCACCACCCAUUGCUAGGGUGAGCGCCCCCGAUCAGGGCGCUGAUCAAGGUCCCGAUGGGCCUUUGGGCCCAUUGGGAAGGAGAUCAAUCUAACACUUUUAUCCCGGUUGGUGUUUCAAACCGGGAUAAAAGGCCUCUUAGGAUCUUUUUUCUCCACUAGCCUUUGCAACCGGGAUAAAAGGUCCCGCUUGGUGAGCCCCCCACCAGUGACUGAGCUUUAGUCCCGGUUGGUGAACCUUUUGUCCCGGGCCAACUUUAAACCGGGAUAAAAUGGGGCGCAUGGAAGGUGAGUUCUCUACUAGUGAGUGAAUGUAUGGCAACGAUUGUUACUACUAUAGAAGGUUGUUCGAGUGGCCAUGUAAUGGAUCUUGCCUUGCAUAUUUUAUAUGGAACCUUCCCUGGGCUAUAUUCAAUGAGGGAUCCUAGGCAAGAAAAAUAGGAUCAACGGAGUCAUGGAUGUGUAAUACAAAAUGGAUGUUUUUUAAUAAAAAAAUUAGGCCUGUGUGAUGCUCAAAGAUGCACGUUGUAGAUUUACCAUCAAACCGUCUCGGUACACUUUAGUUACAGAUUUUUACCACUUUAUACAACUCAAAGUUCUUUUAUAUUCAAAGUUUUUUCAGGGAGCGACUCAUCGCAAUGCCGCUAGUCAAGCCCCCGGCGGCCCCUCCCCCGCUGCCACCGUGGGUGCCUCCUGCUCCGGCGGUGGCAGGUCCCGAGCCAUAGCAACAGCAUGCCCAGGGUCUUCUCUUUUCCUUCUCUCUUCAGGGGUUUUUGGUGCUUCUCCUCUGCAUGGAGCCUCCGGCCGAUCUCCCCAAUGUGUUUGCCCCUACUCCUGGGCUCGCUUGGGGCUACGGCCAGGUGCCGAAUCUAGCCUCUGGUGGCUCAAUCUGGCUGCUCGGCGCCAUCUACUUCUUCCUCCUUGUGUCUUCUCCCUUCCCCGCUUCCGACCUCCUCCGCUUCUCUGUGACUGUGCGGCGUUGUGGUCGGGCAGGUGGAGGGCCGGUGGCCGCCUCUGGAUGCUAGCGGUGUGGGGGCAUGCUAGCUGCGGAUCUUGGUUGCCGGUGUGGCUGCAACCUUCGAUCUUGCGCGGCCCGUGUUGCUCCUCCCCUACGGUCUUGGGAACGGCUUGGUGGAUUCUGGGGGCCGCGCAAUGCCGAUUGGAUGCUGGGGGUCGUGCAACGAGUGUUGCGCUCGGUGAGCCGGGAGUGCAAUGCACCUUCGCAUGGCCCUGGUGAGGACCUAGCUACUUCGCCAUUCUCUCUGGCUGCAUUGUCGGAUGCUGUGCAGCGAAAGUGCCGUGCUCGGCACACGAGGAGGUGCCCCACCUCCGCACAGCCUGACGAGGGUCUUUGCUACCUCCUUGACAGCUUUUGCAGUGUGGUGUGGUCAUUGGUGCUGCCUUUGUUCUUCAUUGGCAGCUGCAACCAAGGUUUGACAAGUAUCUAUGGUGUGGUCAUUGGUGCUGCCUUUGUUCUUUGUUGGCACCUGCAACCAAGGUUUGACAAGUAUCUGCUGCUUCUUCCUGCAUCGUCCCAUGCUCUUCGCUUGGCUUGUUCGUGACUACUAACCUCAUUGAUCUCCCCUCGGGCAUCCUUCCCCCAGAGUGCAUUGACGGUUCAUAUAUGGUGCGGCAUCUUGAGAAGUCAGUCUUGGCUUAUUGCAAGUGGUUGCCACCAAGCUCAGAUGUUGGGCACUAAUUGGCACUUUGGUUUUGUGGCAAUGGCUUUGUUCAGGUGGGGGGUUCAUCCCUCCCCGUUGCCCACCCCUGUUGUCACAAGCCGGGUUACCGUUAGUGCUUGGUGUCUAUUUGCAAAUUGGAUGUCUUCGUGUGCAAGAUUGUAUAGCUGUGGUAUCCCAACUCUCAGCUGUUUGGCUACAAUCGGUGUCAUUUCUCUAAUGUACUUUAGUAUUAGGUGUGUGUGCUACGAUUGUAAUCCUUUGUGGCUCUUUUUUUCUAUCACUAUGUAUCCUGAUCACCACCUCUUUGGGAUGGCUGCCUAAUCUUGUAUUAUCUUCUUUGAUGGAAUGAAAAUGUUUAGGUGGGCUUACUUAGCCCCACGAUUGAUUCCAAAAAAAUCAAGCAGCUUAAAAACAACCGGACACUUAAAUUUCCAGCUCAAAGUUUGCACUCCUCAACAACCAGAAACAAAGUUCUUUGAACUUAUAAAUACUUUAAGAAAGCAAAUAAGAAACUUUGCUUCUCUCACUAUUUUGGGCCUUGUAAAGGGCCUGUAGGCUAGGGCUAAAUGGUGGUACAUAUCCGGAUCUUAACUAUGUAACACCCCAAGCGCCACAAAAGCUCAAGAUGUCACUAAACACCCUUCUCAUAUGCUGGAGUAUAAAAACUCAGUAGCAUAACCUCGUAUACAUAGUAAAACGUGGAAGCAACAAGCUAAAUGAUAUAUAUAGAUAAACCACACACUACCAUUUAAUGAGAAACUUAAUAAGAUAACAAUGAACAAAGGUCAUCCACACUCAUUAUUAUGAAAGCACAAAUGGUCACCACAAGAUCUACUCUAUGUUCAUUAAAUCAACAAAUGUUUCAUUAUUAUUAUAAAAGGAAAGUGGGUAAAUAUGUGAAGACGUGCAGCUAAUCCCAUCCCUCCAAGCAAACAUCCACUCAAGUAUCUGGAAAGAUAAAAUGGGUGUGAGAAUAAAUCUUAGCAAGCAAACUGCUUUAACAUGUCAUUUAAAUCACAAUAUAUUAAAAGACAAUUUAAGAGUCAUAAUUAUAAAAGAAGCACCACAUAACUUCGAGUAGUAACAUAGAUGAGGGUCCCUUUGGUUAAGCCGUGAAUGUGCUUUUGCUUUCAAGAAAAGUCAAAAGCUAAACCAAAGAGGUGAGCUUCCAAACCCCUACUUCCACAAAAGCAACUUUUUUGUAGUUCAUUCUCCACAGCAGUUCAUUUUCCACAGCCAUCCUCGGGGUGCUUUUUCCGACUGUGAGGGCGGACAUUUCACAAAAAUUAUCCGCAAUGCCACCGCUUAUGGGCGUACCCCUUUGUUUUUCUUUCCCAUCGACGCCUCUGUCGCUCUCGCUCCCCACCUACGCCUCCUCUCAUUCCUGCCCGACGCCUGCUGCACUAGGGUUUUGCCGCGCCCUCCGGUGGCGGUCCGGCGUGCCCUCCGGUGGCGACGCCGCCCAUCUGCCUCCCCUCAAGCCGACGGCGGUGCUCCAUCCAUCGAAUCGAGCAUCCAUGAUCCUCGUCGUCCUCCCAGCAAGCCCAUGGCGGUGCCCCUCAUUCACCUCCCUUGAACACAGCGGCUACGACCUGAAGCCGGUGGCGGCGGUGCCCUGAAGCCGGCGGCGACGCUCCUCCUCAUCCUCCCUCGGAGCCCAUCGUCCACCUCCCAAUCUGCACGCCACCAAUCUCCCCUUCCAGAUCUGGUGCUAAGGUAACUUCGACUCCCCUUCUAGAUAUGAUAGCAAGCAUUUUAUCAUCCAUUUGUGGAAGUAACUUUUCUAUGUUAUUGUGCACAACAUAACACAAGGCUAAUAUACUGCUUACUGGUUCCACCUGCAUUUGUGUUUCCACUGAUCCAUUUAGAGGAACAAGUGUGGGUAUCUAAGUUGGAACUUUGAACGUAUGGUCUUGGUGCAACCAUCAACCAAGCAUACAAAUCUGCUCCGUUUUCUGGGGCUAGUAAUAAUGAGGAAAACAGUGGGGAUUAUAGAAUAGAAGUCUGAUAAUAACUUGUUUUUUUUGUGAGUCUAGUAAUGACUUGAUCACUAGCUGACAAGAAAAAUAACCAAUUGCUUCUAAAUGCUCCUCGCGAUGGAUUAUUUCCUGUAGUUUCCAAAAGCAUGAAUUGUGAAAAAGGUUGAAAUGCAUGUUUGAUGGGUUUUUUCCCACAUGGAUUAAAAAAAGCCAAAAUACAAUGGAUCGUAUGGUUUUUCACUUAAUUUGUCAAUACAGUUCAAUUGAUGCUCUUUAAAAGGUGUAGCACAAACUACCUUGCUAGAAAAGCCCCUUCACAUGACAGUACAUCUUUAGCCAUAAAGGUAGUCCAGUCAUAGCAGCCCCUGAUCUUUUUGUUCUGCUUUUCUGAAUUUAGUUUUCCUUUUUACUUUUUGGCAGUAGUCCAGUCAUAGCAGCCCCUCAUUUCUUCUAGCCCAAAUGCUACUCCAAGGGUUAACUAACUAGCAAGGGUGAAUUGCUAGAGGUCAUUACGGUUGAAAUAAUUUGGCUAGCGUGAAUAACCUGCUUGUGUUAGUUCUACUAUAUGCUGACACAUCACUAUUUUCAGAACUGUCGCAGCAGGCUGCCAUUAUUGGUGAAAUGGGAUACCAAUACACUGAGCGGUAUUUGCACAAAGGAAAGUAUAGGAAAACAUCAAAAAUUGGACUUCAAUGGGUUAUGAGAUGCAUGGGUUGUCCGAGGUACUUCUAUAAGAUGUUUCGAAUGAGCACUGAUAUUUUCAUGGCACUACAUGACUUGCUAAUCUCGAACUAUGGCUUAACAUCAACUAAUAAUGUAUCAUCAAUGGAGUCAUUGGCAAUAUUCUUGUGGAUCGUUGAAGGACCCGAAUCAUUUUCACAAGUUGAAAAUCGUUUUACCCGGUCACUUUAGACAGUUCAAAGGAGCUAUUGGAGCUAUUGACGGUUCACAUGUUCCAGUAGCAGUGCCAAUAGAGGAAGUGGUCAACUACACAUGUAGACAUGGCUAUACAUCUCAGAAUGUGCUAGCUGUUUGUGAUUUUGACAUGAGGUUUAUCUUUGCGGUUGCUGGUUGGCCAGGUUCUGCACAUGACACACGCAUCCUGAACCAUGCGUUAGCGAAUUUUCCUUCAUUUCCAGUGCCUCCUAAACGUAUGCAUGUUUCGUUACUGGUUGUCAAUAUUUCUAUUGUUAUUUGGCUUUGCUGAUUUGAUUUUAUAGGUAAAUAUUACCUCGUGGACUCUAGUUAUCCAAACCGAAUAGGAUAUCUUGUCCCUUUUAAAGGAAGCACAUACCAUAUACUAGAUUUUCGACUUUGUAAUGGACGUGCUCCUCAAGGGAAGUACGAGGUGUUCAAUUUCUUGCAUUCAUCUCUUCGCAAUGUCAUUGAGCGGGCUUUCGGGGUCUUGAAGCAGAAGUGGCGUAUUUUGAAGGGCAUUCCAAGUUUUCCUACUUGAACUCAGAAGCAUAUAAUUCUAGCUUGUAUGGCAUUGCAUAAUUUUAUUCAUGACACCAAUUUGGAAGACAAGUUGUUCGAUAGAUGUGCUGGUGAUGAGGAGUACCUGGUACAACAUAGUGUCGUGGUAGAAACACAAGAAGAUGACAAUCAAGAUGGAGAGAAUGAGGACACCAUGAAUACCAUUCGCAGUAGGAUAGCUGAUGCUUUGGUUAGUGCGAGACGAAGAUAGUUAUGUUGAAGAAGGACAUCAUUAUGUGAACCAUAUGUCUUUUGUAAUAUUCUAUAAUUUUAUUUAUGUGAACCAUAUGUUAAUGGUGAAUGAAAAUCUUUAAGAAAAUUAAUUUUUCCUUUCUAAAAUGGUAAUUUCCAUGCGAAUUAGUGAACAAAACAAUGUUUUACAAUAAAUUUUAAUAUGAGCAUUCUCCUAGUAGUUCAGGGGUAUUACAGACAUUUCUUACCAAACCUACAGCUUCACAGUCAUUCUAACCAAACGGCUUUCAGCUUUCUCACAGCUCACACCUCACAACAACUUUUCUCAUAGCUCACAGCCCACAGCAGCUUUUUUCACAGCCACAGCCCAACCAAAUAGACCCUAAAUACUUCACAACAAUACUUCAUAAUGAAUAUGCAAACGGUGCAAUGCAAUGCAUGACUUCACUUCUACCCACACAUCCCCAAGGAAGGAGGUUGUUGACGCUCGUUAUUGACACCUUUUUACCCCUAUUUAUCUUCAAUAAUGACAUGAGUUUAAUACCUAAACUAUUGAUUGUACCUAAUAAAUGGGUCAUUUUCACAUAUGUAAUAUAUUUUGGAGGAUAUUCUAUUUUCAUAAGAAAUUGGAAUUAAAUGAGCAUAAUUGGAUAAAGCCCUAAACAAGCAACGAACCAGAGGAAGACGAAGGCCAAUGGGCCCAGAAAGGGCCUAGGCCGAUCAUCCUAUAGAGGCCCAGACCAAUCGGCCUAGGGUCCUCUAGCCCCCUCUCGUGCUCGUUUUUUGGCAAGCAAUCCUCUAAGAUGACUUAAGAGCUAAGUCUACGAAGAUAUGGCAAGAUGAGUUUGGGAUCAAAGAGGAUCAAAUAGAGAUUUAGAAAGUUAUCAAAUAUCAAUCUCAUCCCGAAGCUAUCGACGUGUCAGGCCCACAUGCAAGUGAAAGAAGACUUCAGAACACCUGAGAAGACUUGACAUGAAGGGACGCGCGAGAGGGGAAAAGGAAGGCCUAGGCCGAUCGGCCUAAACCCAUCCGGCUGAUCAGCCUGUGGUGUUUCCUUGCCCCCUCACCUUCCAAUUUAAGCCACAGGUCCUCCGGACUAUAAGUACCCUGAUUCUCCAUCGAGCACCACAUCCAAGAUGACGUAUUCGACGUGAAGCAGCAGAGAAAAAGAAGGAGCUUGAGGGGUACCACUUCGGAGAGUCGAGGGCCAUGCAGCUGUCUAGGGAUUAGCAUAGCUAAGCUCUAGCUGAUGUGGGAACCCUGCGAGGAAGAUCCACAUCGGAGUUUUAGAGCUAGGAUCAUCAAGAUCAAGGUAGGAUCCUAGUGGUGAUCUUAUGGUGUACAAUCAUUCAUGAUGAAGUACUAGAUUUGUGCUUGUUCUUAGCAAUCUAAGUAUCUCCUUCUAUGGUGUUAUGCUUUUUCAGGUUUGCUUACUUUUUAAUCUAUGAUCGAUGAUAGUUUGCUUAGGAUGUUUAUGUGGUCGUGGUGACCGGAUUUGCAUGUCUAAUCUACCAAUAAGUAUAACAUGUUUUUGUGAUCAUGCCCUUAGGUUACCUAUACUGAUAGAGAGGAUCGUGAUAGGAUCUUUCUUGUGUAAGAUAGGGGUUUUCGGGAGCCAGACCGGAGGUGUAGAUAUAAAUAUGCUUUUACUAAGAUCAUAUUUGUGUUGCUUUGCUAUCCAUGCUCAGAAUUACAACAUAUGCAUAUUAUAGGUUGCUCUAGAUUGGUUACCUCUGCUCUAUCUGUUAUCUGUCUAUAUAUGCUAGAUUGGAUUUGAAUCACUCAUCAACAAAAGAUUCAUACUAACACUGCUAGUUGAAAUAAAUCUUGUAUUAUAAGUUCCACAGAUUGAUAAACCUUAGGGGAGUACUCUCAGGGAAGAGCUACAACUGAUACAUGCGCUUGCGGUUCACAAUUGGCGUGCUAACUGCCAUCAACAGUGAUGAGGGCUGGAACCACAUUGCUAUAUCUCAACAUGCAUUGCUGUACCGGUACAUAACGCACCAAUCCGACUACGGUUUCUUCAUAUGCAUUAAACAAUAUGAGAAUGCGAAUGCAAGAUUGCAAUACAUGAACUUCAUAUACUUCAAAAUUCAUAACUGAUGAAGACAUCCCAUGGGUUACACAAGACCACGAAUUGGGUACAUAAGCUCAUGUGUAUGAAGGACAAAUUACACACAGUCGUGCUAAGAAACUCCAAUAAGAGGUGCAUGUUUUCCUUGCUCAAAUUAACUUCAACAUACGUGAGAAUUUUAUACUACCUAAAUCCUUUACAUUGGUCGUGAUUAGGUAUGCACAUGAAGAGGGUACUGCACUACAUGGAGAUGCAAUGCAACAAUCAGAGCAAACCACAUGAAACAGACAAGAAAGGAACAUUUGGAUACGAGUGGAUCAACCUAAUGAAGCCAAACGUACAGAUUGUUCCCAUUUUGAUGUCCGGACCUGCAUAAUGAAUCAAUCAUAACUCUUGAUUUUUGAUAGCUAUGGAGGUGAAUGAGUACUUGAUGGAAUGGGCUUGAAAUCUACUUUCCAAUGCAAGAAACUGCAUAUCCAUUGGACUUCCCAAUAGGGAGUUAUGACAGAUUGAGUGAAUACUGCACAGAAGCUGAGAAGACGCGCGAGAUUCAAAGGUCACCUCAUGAAUGCUUCACCACUCGACUUUCCAUCUUCCAAUGUGGAGAUUUUAGUUCAUACCUAUCUAGAAGGGUUGUUCCUAGUAUAAAUAACCCAUCUAUACUACUAGAAAAAUAAGUUGAAUUUUGAUGAAUAGAUAACCACAUUUGGUUUUGCAUCUAAGCUGCUAAGUGCCUUGCACACCCUUGUUCGUCCCUGUUCUUCGAGGACUUGUGAAGAACAUCUCUCUGAGGUCCCCUAAUUUGUGCUCUACGGCUUCCAGUUAGGCUGCACCAUUUUACGUGGAUUAGUCCCGGAUUGUGGUUCUCUGGUAGUUCGGUGAUCGAGUCGAAGUCUUCAAGGUUUCGAUGCCUCUUACCCUAUCGCAUGGUCGCAUCCACCACGGAUCGUGGUUCUGUGCUUGUUUGGAGAUCAAGUCGGAGUUCUCUCCAGUGCCUCUCUCCCCGUCACUUGGUCGCAUCCAGCCUUUGUCAUGUAUAAAGCUACUUACCCACUGCUUGUAGCAAGUUAUCUUGUUACGAAACCUACUGCCGUGAAGAUCAGGCCAUCCCAAGGACCUUUCUUGUAAUGGUCCCUAUCAAUAACUUCAAGAGUAAAACCUCAAGUGGAACAAGAUACUUCAAUAUAAAGCCAUUUUCAUAUUUAUCUUGCUAGUAUGAGGUACUGAAAGUAAAUGGAGACAAUUCAAACAACAAAGUUAAAGCAAUGUAGACCUCAUCACUAGGUUUACUUGCCUUCACCGAAGACCAAGAACGUGAGCUAAGUAUGAUCCAAAGGUGCACCACCUGUUUACAAAUAUAACUCAGCACCAACACAGUUACACAAGCAUAAACAAACAUAAUUUAAAGUGUUUCUACAGCUGAACCUGACAUUGUCCCAAAACCACACGCAAAAUUAGACAUGACAGCAACGUUGUUGCUUCUCUUUUUUGUAUCUUUUAAUCCUGAUGGAUAAAAUUCCCAUAUUGUGCCAUCUCAAAGAUAACUUCAGAACUUACAAAUUUCUAGUGUUCCAUAAAUAGAGGAAAAAUCAUCAACAUAAGCUAAUCUUGAGAUGAACCUCAAACUGAAAAUCUGACAAUAACUGCAGAACAGUCUUAGUAAAAUAGGUAUAUCUGGAGCUCCAAAAUUCACAUGAAUAUGAACUUAACCAAUCUGGUAAGCUUAUAAAAUUUCCUACAACUAUUUAUUCAUCCAAAGAUCCAAUUAUGUCGUUUGGAUUGCCUAAACUUUAGGGGAACAGAUUCUGCCUAGAAUUAUGAGGCUAAAAAACUAACAGAAUCAAACUUUAAUAUCUCUCAGCUCUUAAAUCUGAUUGUGGUGUUCUUUACAUCUUUGAAAAUAUCUGCAAAUACUCUACAUCUCAUAUAUUGGUUUUAUAUUUUUUGGAAGCCACUAGGAGGACAUAAAACAGCCAUACUGAAAACUGCAGAGAUUGACUACGUGCUGAAAAUAGCGACGAGGGCAAAACUUUAUCCUAGCCCUUAACGGCGUUGAGUAACCACUACACGCACGUGCUAGAACAUCUGAAAACUUAGGGAAAAUAUGGAUUGUAGUGGGGGCAUGCCUCACCUAGGGUUUCCCUUGAAAACAGCAAAGGCAACGGCAACGGCGGCAAUCCCAACGAUGACUCCCGGUCGUUUCCCCCUCCCUAGCGACGAACGUCAUGGAAGCUCCGUCAAUUGCACCUAAAUUGCAUCCCACAUGGUGGCACCACCAUGAACAGCAAGGAAAGAAAAAUCAAUUGGGGGAAAACGGAGAAAGAAAAGGAAGCUCGACCAAUUUUGGAGACAAACGGUGACGAUGGACGGCGGCGUACCCUAAUUUCCCUUUCUUCUCUUUUCUCUUUGUUCUCCCUUUCUCCCUUCUCUGGAGCAUGGCAAAGGGUGGGUGGCGGCAAUGAGAGGAGGCACAGGGUAUAGGGUUUUGAAUAGGAGAGGUGUAUAUGGUGGAAGGGAAAAAAAAGAGAAGAAAAAGAAAAGAAGGGGAACAGAAAAGAACUCGGUCAUGGCAAUAGGGGGCUCGUCAUUGUAGCUCAUGAUUACUGUAGAUGUGCAGUUGCUGCAGCAUCCAAGGGUGAAAUGUUGCACCAUCUAUAAGUCCAUGACCGGAACUCCAAACAAUACAUAUAAGUGAUCAAACGGAAUGGAUUCGAAGUUCGUACAUCCGAGCGACAGAUCUAAAACUCAACUUCUGCCUACCAUCUUUACUAAUUACCACAUACAAAGUGUAUUUUAACCUUUACGCAUCCUGGGUGUUACAUUCUCCCCUCCUUAAAAGAAUUCAUCCCCGAAUUCACCAUCGCUAAGUCAUGACUGUGAACUAGAACUAAAUGUAAAUAAACAGUUAUUUACCAGACUCAAAGAGCUCUGGAUUUUUCUAGCGCAUGGGCUCCUCUAAGUCCUUUGUGGCUUCUCAUUUCAACUGAUUAGCUCAUCGGACCUUCACAUAAUUGAUAGUCCUAUUCUGCAUGAUAUGUUCGGAGAAAUCCAAUAUGCGUACUGUAUGACACUCCAUAGUCAAAUCCUGCUCAAUAGUCCUUAACAUGCGCAUCUGGGCUCAUGGACCACUACUGGGCCAUCCAAAUUUGGACCGGGUGUCACAUACCCACCCUCACCCCCCUCAAAGAACCCGACGUCCUCAUUUGUCCAACUUACCCAUACUUGGGCAAAUGUCCAGGAACGUUCCCUCUUAGCACACGACAGUACAUCCAGUGCCGGCACCAUAUGCCAUACCAUGUGUCCUAUCCGAGUCCACACGCGUCAUGCGUCGUAUGCCCACACACUAACCCGUACGCGCAACCGCGAGAGUCGGCUCUAAUACCACUUGUAACAACCCAGCUCAGGAAAAUGGCUCAUGUGAACUCUACACGCUGAGUGGACUAGACCUGCACUACAACCUGCUUACACUUAUGUCCUCGCUUCGCGUAAAAGGGUUAACCCAAGGUUGCAAUGCUUCCUAGAGAUAGCUAUUUAAGUUGGUUCCACUCACCCUCCACUUCCCAUCUAGAACUAUUUUUAGAGCUACAAUACCUCAUGCAUGGUACCAAUUGUUGGCCCAACUUGGCCCAUGGGCUGUUACAUCCAUCCACCCUUAAGGCCUCGACGUCCUCAUCGAGAGCUGAGCUAACUCACCUAGCCAUGUCCGUACGUCCAGUGCCGGCGCAUAUGCCAUAUCGUGCCCACAUAGGAACCACGCAUCAUGCGCACCAUGCCCGCGCAUCUGACCUACACGUGCCCGUGACACAACAAAAGUUGACUCUGAGACCACUUGUAACACCCCGUCCUCCAAAGCCGCACAACCUAGCCCUUCCGAGUGGUGGGCAUACAUACACAUAGCACCCUGCUUACACUUUCAUCCUCACUUCGUGUAAAGGGUUAACCCGAAGGUGCUAUGGCUGGUGGACAAAGACUUAUAAGUUGGCUCCACCCUUACUCAACUAAACAUGCGCACCUACGCUCAUGGGCCACUACUGGACCAUCCAAAUUUGGGCUGGUGUCACAAACUAUCCAUAUUAUCCGAUCAUCUGAUAUUCAAUGGGUAAUCCCUUCUUGUAUUUCAAUCCAACAUCGGAUAAAACUAUCCAAAUUCAUAUCCAAUAUCCAAAAUGUUUCUCUAACAUUCUUCAGUCUAUCCGACAAUCAACAAUUAUCCGUACCAUUUGCACCCAUGAUCCUUCCAUAUGCAGGCCAUCUUGCAUUGCUAGUUUUAUUGCUUGGAUUUCUAUCAAAUAAAUGGAUGCAUUACAAUGUCUUCUAUGAACAUGUACACAACGCACGCAACCAUAAUACAAGACUGGGUUGAGAACAUCCUAGCUCCACUGGCUGAUUUCAUAUAGCUAUCACGCAUGGGGAUUGGACAUCACUACAAUUGUGUAAGAUUCAUGAUGAAGCUCUGCCCGUAGAUAUCAAUAUGACGAUGAUUUAUUGCCCAUCUGGUCCAGGAGCUUUAGUAGGCUGCAUCUGAAGCAAAAGCAGUUCUAAUCUCCUCAUUGGUGUAAAUUUACAAAUUAAAGCUCCUCAUGCAUCUCAUCAAUACUAUCUGUCUAUCUAUAGAUCAACAUCUAUUCAGACCAACAUCUAUAACUAUAUAAUCUAAUCGCAAUAGACUUUGAGGAAAUUCCCAAACAUAUCAGAGAAAAAAAAGACAUUGGGCUGACUAUUAGAGAUCAUCACGUCAAGCUCGGCCAGUUUUUCCCCAGAUCUAGAACUACUCGCCAUCAUCACUCCUCAAGGGGCCAACGAUGGCAAGCAGCAACCAGAAAGGCAUCCACGGUGUGAAUAUCACCCAGACGACAUGUUGGCAGAUGAGCUCACCGCCAACAUACAAGGAGAAGAGACUGAAAGUCAAAGGACACGCCAGUGAGCUAGGAACGCAUUGCGAGUAGAUCGUCGACGUUGCCUUGCAAACGACCUACCCAUCAUGAACCUGGAUCAUGUGUUCGAAGCAGUUUCAACACAUCAACAUAACACUCCUCUCGCCACCGUCGCCUCCAUUGACCUUCUCACUCAGGCGAUGGCGCAAGACAAGUACACCAGGAAAAUGGCUCUACUGGCGGAGCACGCAUACAAACUACUCGAUCAGGAAAAAUCAAUCAGCUCGGUCCGAUGCACUUCCUCCCACCAUGGCAGCAGUAGCAGGCAUCCAAGUCUUCUUGAAGCCACCAGAAACAAGGUUCCCAAAAUUGAGCACCCCAAACCAAGCUAGCACAGAGCAAAAGGUAGUCGGAUGGGACCCUCGGGAGGUCAUGGCCACCAUGGGCCCCACCAAGAGCUUGAGCAACCUCGUGACCUUUGGGAGCAGCUCAAUCAGAAUCGUGACACUCGCUUAAUCAUCAAAGGGUGCCACCGCGUACGUGAUCAAGAAGUCAACUACUCAGAAGAAGACAUCGACGGGUUCCCCACCUUUUCAAGAUGAGUACGCAAGGCGGUACUACCCGACAAGUUUAAACUUCCGGGUAUCAACAAAUACAAUGGCAAGCAGGACCCAAUCCAAUAGCUGAGGUGCUACUUGCUAGUGGUCCAAGUGGCAGGAGGAAACAAUGACACCAAGGUCAUCUACUUCCCCAUCUGCAUGGAGGUAGGGCUAUUUACUUAGCUCGAGUCUCUAGAAAGUAACUCCAUCGACACGUGGGGUCAAUUGAAGGCGGCAUUCACAAACAAUUUCGUGGGGGCAAUGCAAUGUGCCGGCAAUAGGAUCAACUUGCCGCAAAUCAAACAGCAACAAGGCAAAACCCUGCGUUGUUACCUACAUCGUUUCUUCGACAAGAAGGCCACUGUCGUGGACAUCACGGAGAAGGAUGCCAUAUAGUGCUUCCAGAAUGGUCUCUAUGACCGCCGGAUGUUCCAAGACUUUGGCAGAAGACACCCAGAAGAUAUCAAGUCUCUCAAGACCAUGAUACAAGCCUGGGCAGAUAAAGAGGACAAAGAAAUCAAGCGGUUUGAGUCUAGUCGUAACAGAGGCCAAAACAACAACAACCAGAGCAACAGCCAAAGUAACGGCAAGAAUCGCAACGAUCACGCCAACAACAAUCGAGGCAACUACUCGGGUGGUCAAAACCGCAAUAGGAAGCCAGACAACACUAUCGCAGUGAUGUCCCAAUCCUCUUGUCCUGGAUCCAGUCAUUGCAGGUUCUCAACGUGCUCACAAAAGUACUCAUCGACGGUGGCAGUGGCCUCAACGUGCUCUUCACCAAAACUUUGAGAAAGAUGGGCCUCGAAGUAACAAAUAUGCUCAACCCAACGAACUCUCUGUUCUACGGGAUCAUCCCGGGUAACGCGGUUGUACCCCUUGGUCAGGUGGUUUUGCCAGUUACUUUCGGGACCAAGGAUCAUUACCGGACCGAGUACAUCCAGUUUGAGGUGGAUGAUUUCGAAACAUCGUAUCACGCUAUCCUCGGAAGACCAGCACUGGCCAAGUUCAUAGCCAUCCCGCAUUACGUGUACCUAGUACUCAAAAUGUUGGGACCCAAGGGAGCUCUCUCCAUGCGUGGAGACUUGAAGAGAUCCUACGACUGCGACAUAGAAGCGGUGGAGCUGGCAACGACAACUCAAGUGCCAAACUCCAUGAUGCAAGUCUUCACUGCCUCCAAGAAAUUGUCCCCAAUAGAACUCAAAAUUCCGAAGAAGUCGGGGCAACCAAAGUUAAGUCGGUAGGAGAAGUUGAUAUCAAAGCUAUCGACCUUGAGACUGGCAAUAGCUCCAAGACAGCCCUGAUUAGCUUAGGGCUGGAUCCCAAAUAGGAAUACGCGCUCGUCAGUUUCAUCUGGGCCAACCAAGACAUCUUUGCAUGGAAGACAUUUGAUAUGCUGGGGGUGCCUAGGGAAUUGAUCGAGCACUCAAUGAACGUGGAUCCUAAAGCCAUGCCCAAGCGACAAUGACUAUGUCAGUUCGCCCAAGACAGAAGAGAAGCCAUCAAAAAAGAGUUGGCCAAACUACUCGCUACUGGCUUUAUAAAAGAAGUUCUUCAUCCAGAGUGGUUGGCUAACCCCGUCUUGGUGUGUAAGAAGAACAACAAUGAAUGGAGGAUGUGUGUCAACUACACGAACCUCAACAAAAACUAUCCAAAGGAUCCCUUCGGGCUCCCUAGGAUUGAUCAAGUCAUCGACUCAAUGGCUGGGUGCGCUCUACUUUGCUUUCUUGAUUGCUACUCAGGUUAUCACUAGAUAGCUCUCAAGGAAAAAGAUCAGAUCAAGACUGCAUUCAUCACCCAUAUGGAGCUUUCUGUUACAUCACAAUGUCCUUCGGGUUGAAGAACGCAGGUGCCACAUAUCAACGAGCCAUCCAAGAGUGCUUCAAAGACCAACUACACCGCAACAUAGAAGCGUACGUGGAUGACAUGGUUGUAAAGACCAGAAAUCUCGAUGACUUCAUUGCAAAUCUAGAAGAAACCUUCACAAGCUUGCGAGCAUACCAAUGGAAACUGAACCCAACAAAGUGUGUGUUCGGUGUACCCUCUGGAAAACUACUCGGGUUCAUCAUCAGCCAUUGAGGAAUCGAGGCUAAUCCCAUGAAGAUUGCUGCCAUCACCAACUUGCACGCUCCAUCGUGCAUGAAGAAUGUCCAGAAGCUAACUGGAUGCAUAGGAGCCCUCAACAGAUUCAUCUCAAACUACUCAAGUGGCAAGACAAGUUCCAGUGGACCGAGGAGGCCGAACAAGCUCUUCAACAGCUGAAGGACUUCUUAUCAAAGCCAUCGGUCCUCACGACGCCUACUCCCAAUGAAGACUUGCUGCUCUACAUCAUCGCGACUACUAACGUCGUUAGCACGGCGAUCGUGGUUGAAAGACCAAAACCAGGCCAUGCAUAUAAAGUAUAGAAGCCCCCGAAAGCUCCCAAAGCUAGAUCCCUGCCCCUUCAACUACUUCUGUGUGGUCCAUCUAAGGUUGGGGCUUCACUCUGAAGAAUUUCCUAAACAGCUGGAACUAGGGCUGAAUGCCCAAGAAGGUCUCAUAGAGGUGCACAAAGAUGGCAACGUGUAAGAUAGAAUUGGGGUCGAGGUGGACAAGCUCCAGAUUGUAGUACCUCAAAAGCUCUCGGAAGAAGUUAGACGAUGGCAGAGCCAGCCCGCGCUCAAUGAAGUGCGUGAAGAUCACUGUCUCAUCUGGAUAGCUCUCAAAAAGCCAUGGAUUUCCAGCUGCUACCCUCCAAUCCGCGAACUCCUUCUCCUAGAGCAGAUUCACACCCACCAGUACCUGGAUGUCCGCCUCUUUCAAGGUGGAUGGCUUCCAGGCACUGCUUGAUUUGGCGGCGCCGUCUGGUUGGUCUUCCCGUACUUGGGCACCAGCAGUUGGAUCUCCUUCUUGGCAGCCUUGCACUUCUUGGACUCUACCGCCUUGCUCGAGGAUGCUUUCUUGGGUGCCAUUGCUCCGAUGGUAUUCUGGCGCAUGAGCUGGAGGGCUACACAGUGCAGGGGUGGUGGCGCACGGGAAUAGCAAGCGGCGGCACUAGGGCAUUAGUGCUCGGGGUCGCAAGCGGCGGCGCUAGGGCAAUAAUGAGAAGAUGAAUGGCUUGGGCGCACUAGCUCGGGUGAAACAGAAGGGAUAAGAUUCCACCGAUAUUUAUAACUGCGACACAAGUAACUGAGAGGCGAGAAUUACAGGGGAAUAUUCCAUUUUUUAAGCCAUCAGGUAUUGCUAGAACGGUUACCAAUUUUUUUUGGAAGAGAUACGAUUUUUGAAGGCGAACGGUCACAUUGGACCAGUGGUUGACACUUAUACCCAAACUAGUCGUGUAAUGACUCAAGGGCUGUGUGCCACGUGCCCGUCGAACAAAAAGUUUUUUCUCCGAUUUUUAAGGGGAAAAAGAUGUGAAAUUAGAAGAUUAACCCUCAGCCUAAUUCUUCGAUUCAACCUAAGGCUCGGGGGCUACUCCAUAUGGAGUGCGAUUUCGCACUUCCUUAUAAGGUUUAGGAUUGAAGAUCCAAGAUUCAAGACUAAGUUAAAUGAGGCUUGAGAACCUUCUAGCCGCAUGGCAGUACUCGAGCACAUUUGAAGACUCAAUCUGAUAAAGUACUCAAAAAGAGCACCACAAACUAGUCGGAGACGUCUAGAGAAGUACUCGGGGCUGCUGCAUUUGACUAAAAAGUACUCGGGGCCUUUUUGGUCAUACAUCUAUGGGUCCACCGGGAGGCUUGGACAGUCCUACAUACGGGGUUGUACACCAAGACAUGUCAGACAUAGAGACUACGGUGUAGGACGGUGUGGUCUACGUGGAGGAUAAGGACUAGUCGAGGAUUAGAAAACUACUCGUAGCAAUUAGAGUAGGAUUCUCUAGUUGAAUCCGACUAGUACUCUUGUACAACAACCGACCUAUAACCCUUCCCCCGGCAAUAUAAAGCGAGGCAAGGACCCCCUCCAAACAAUCAUCAAUUAAUACAAACCAACCAACAAACAGGACGUAGGGUAUUAUGCGACAUAAGCAGCCUGAACCUAUCUAAAUUGUGUGUUCGAGUUCACUUUCGAGUUCCUAGUCUUCGGUGAGCCCCACGCAUAAAAUACUACCUCGGGCACCCCCUUGGUAGGUUGCUAGGUCUAAACACCGACAGUAGAAUGCAAGUAAUGUCCACCAUCUCUCUUUUUCAGAUGUAGGCUAUCUCAUUAUUUCAUACGUUUCAGGUCCCGACGUGCUUCAAUUGUAUCCUUUGCCAUUCCAUAUGUACCUAGGAAGCCAAGCACAUUCACUCGCAAAGAUUUUUUAUCAGAUGCAUCACAUCGAUUGCAUUACGGAUCUCAUGGACUUCCCAAUAAGAUAGCUCCCAAAAUAUAGAAUUCUUCUUUCACAUGGGUACAUGUCCGUCCUUGUUGUUCAGAACAAGUUGGCUAUUAGAGCUAUUGCCAAAGACUACCCUCACAUCCUUUAUCAUAGAAAAUACACGUUUACCAUUACGGUGAACGGGCUUAGCACGUUUUUCUUCCUUCCCUUCAAAAUGCUUCCCUUUCUUUCUUAACAGUUGCUUAGCAGAAAGAAAUCGACGAUGGCCCGUAUACACAACCUUCCUACAAUGUUUCAAAUAUAUGCUGCAAGCAUCAUCUAAACAAUGCAUGCAGGCUCGAUAUCCCUUGUUUGUCUAUCCGGACAGAUUACCAAGCACCGGCCAAUCAUUGAUGGUUAUGAACAACAAUGCUCAUAGAUUAAAAGUCUCCUUUUUGUCCUCAUCCCACACACGUACACUUUCUUCCUUCCAUAAAAGUAAAGUUCAUCAACUAGUGGUCUUAGGUAAACAUCAAUGUCGUUGCCAAGUUGUUUUGGGCCUUGGAUAAUUACCAGCAUCAUAAUGAAUUUCCGCUUCAUGCACAUCUAGGGCGGAAGGUUGAACAUACAUAAAGGUCACAUGUGUGAUAUGACCACUACUAAACUCACAGAAUUGAUUGAAUCCAUCCGUACUUAAACCAAACCGUAUGUUCCUUACAUCCUUUUCAAACUCGGAAAAUUCUCUGUCAACUAUUCUCCACUUGGACCCUUCAGCAGGGUGUUUGAUCAUUUCAUCUUACUUACGUUCUUAUUUGUGCCAAUGCAUCAACUUUGCAUAUGUCUUAUUUCUGAACAAAUGCUUCAAACGUGGUACUACAGGGAAAUACCACAUUACCUUCGUAGGAACAUUUUUCUUGCUGGCCUGCCCCUUAAUAUCACCGGGAUCAUCUCGCCUAAUCUUAUAACGUAGCACUUCGCACAUAGGACAAGCCUCCAAUUUCUCGUUUUCCUCACCGCGAUAGAGGAUACAAUCAUUAGGACAUGCAUGUAUCUUUUGUACCUCCAAACCCAGAGGGCAAACAACAUUUUUCACUUUGAACAUUGAGGACAACAAUUCGUUCCCCUUAGGAAGCAUGUUCUUUAUGAUUUUCAUUAACUCGUCAAAAUCCUUGUCAGAAACUUCAUUUUUUACCUUCCAUUGCAACAUUUCCAGUGCGGUACCCAACUUUUUGUACCCCUGUUUGCAAUCUGGGUACAACAAUUUCUUAUGAUUAUCUAACAUUCGCUCGAACUUCUUUAACUCCUUCACAUUCUCGCAGUCUUCUUUGCAUCUCGCAACACCUGACCUAGAUCAUCGGUAAGACCUUCUUCUGCAACCAUCUCUUCUUCAGCCUCGCCCAUUGCAGCAUCUGCAAAGGCACCUCCUUGAGUCCUAUCAGGAAUGUAGUUAUCAUCUUCUUCUUCAUCAUAAUCAUCUUCCAUCAUAACUCUUCUUUUGCCGUGAUUGGUCCAAACAAAAUAGUUAGGCAUGAAUCCCAAACCGUAUAUGUGAGCAUGAAUCGUCUUUCUGGAUGAGUAAUCUUUCUCAUCUUUGCAAAUUCGGCAUGGACAACAAAUGAAACCAGAUGACGGCUUGUUGGACAUUGCCAGAUCGAGAAAACCAUGCAAGUCAUUAAUGUACUCCAUAGAGCUUUUGUCCGCGCUGUACAUCCAUUGCCAAUCCAUUAGAAAGUACUACCGAACCAAAGAUUUAUCAUCAAUAGAAUUAUACAUGAAACAUAACAAACAUGAUACAAAUUUCAUUAAACUCAAAUGUUGCUGAAAGUUUAGAUAGAAAUAUAGAAAUUUAAAUUUCAAACCCAAACAACAUGAUACACUAAGACAAACUAAAAUGUUGCUGAAUGUUUCGAUAGAAAUAUACAAAUUUAAAGUUCAGACCCAAAUAACAUGAUACACUAUGACAAACUCAAAUGUUGCUAAAUAUUUAGAUAGAAAUACACAAAUUUAAAUUUUAAACACAAACAACAUGAUACACAACGACAAACCAUCUACGGAAUACUAUCUAGGAGGACUUUAAGCAUCCUUGGAUGGCGAAGACAAAGGUUUCACUAACCCAGCCUCAUCAUGUGGUUUAUUUGUGCCUCCUGCAAUGGUAGUACUCAGCGGACCUGAAACCCAUGAGACUGGCGGUGGAGCAUAACAACCAUCAAAAGGAGGUUCCUGACCCGCCGCAAUAGCAUCUUCAUGACAUCUUUCCAAAUAACGAAGCAUUGCUCUCUCCCACAUGCUCAUUUUCUUUGGGUUAUCAUGAGGGCCAACUGUGGUUUUCCCCUUGCUACGAGAGGAAUGACGAUUGCCCCCACCAUCACCACUACCUCCAGCAGCAGUAGCCAUCUCUAUGUAGCUCAUAUUUGCAAAUUUAAACUAUGAACAAAUUAUACUUUUUCCCUGCAAAUUAUUUAGCUCAAACUUAACAUAUAAAUGAAAAAUUUCUCCAUUGUAGCUUAUUCUAAAAAUGACUAAUUACAUACCUCUAUUUUAUCUUAUUAUCUUUAUGUACCACAAUUUAUCUCACUCAUAUUUGCCGAUGACUAAAAUAUGACCAAAUUAUAUUUUUCUGCAUAAUUUAUUUAACUCAUAUUUGUAAAGGACUAAACUAUGAAAUUAUUCCUCUAACCUCAUAUCAAUUUCUUUGACUAAUACGAAACAUAGCAUCCAAAAAAUUGUAGCUUAUUCUAAAAAUAACAAAUAUGAGCUCUAAAUAACACAUGCAUAUAAAUGAAAAUUUUCUCCAUUGUACCUUAUUCUAAAAAUCACAAAUUGCUCUAGCUCUAAAGCAUAAACUUAGUAUACUAACCAUGUAUCAAGGGAGGAUGAAGUUUCUAACCUUUAGAAUACUUGAACGAGCGAAAUCCCUGUAAAAUGGUCAAAAAUCCGGCAGCACCUCCCCUAUUUCGCCAUGAAUGGAUGAAGCCCGAGCUGGAGGAAAUAGCUCGGGCAAAAGGAAGAAGACGCCUGAUUUAUAUAUAGGAGGGAAGUUAGUACCGGUUGGAGCCCCCAAUCGGUACUAAAGAGGGUCACGGGGGGCUCCGGGGGAAUUAGCCGUUAGACCCGGUAAUAAUGCUCACAUUAGUACCGGGUCAAAAACCAACCGGUGUUAAGCCUCGGGACGAAUGCUGAGUUUUCCAGUGUGGAUGCUUGUUAUCUUGGCAAUGCUGACAUUUAGCAUAUAUAACAAAAAAAAAUUUCAAACUUUCUGUUCACAUCUAGGAUUACUGAAUUUCAUGAUAUUUAGCUCAAAUUCAAAUCCCAACUUGAUGUCGCAAUACAACAAAGGAAGAUUCACUUUGUAAGGUAGGGUACAUAUCUAAGUUAGCAACUAUCACUUGGCAAUACCCCUAUGAGAAAUUCUGAAAUCCUUUGUACCCAAAAUGUAGAAUUUGAAAGGUAGGGUAUAUAUCUAAGUUAUCAACUAUCACUGUGCAAAUUUUUAAUUUCAAAUACACAACUUUUGUGAGGAGAUCUAGAAAAUAAAUAGAUGAAUCCCAUACACAACUUCUGCGAGGGUGAUUUUGAUGUAUUAGAACAGUUUAAAUGGAAUCGAUACCGUGUAUAUAUAGGGUGUGAACCCCCAACCCCAAGGUUCUGAAGAUGAUUUUGGUUCAUUCUUGUUGCCUUGCCAACAAACAGUGAGUUCAAAACUUCAAAUAAGCUAGGUUGCGUGAACUACUCCAUCCACAGCCUGUUGUUCUUGGAUCUUCCCCUCCCGUUGUCGUUGUUGUCCUGUCGAUUCAGACGAACUGACAAACCGGCAGCAGGUGACCGGUUCAAAGCGUUGGAACAGUCGACAACAUCCCCCGUGCGGCCGUGCCAAGUGUCGCGGCCGUCUUUUCGAUCAGCUCCAAGCUAGAACACGACCACCUGCACAAAGAACCAGCAAAGCAAUCGCUAGCCCGGCCCUGCGAGCUGCAGCCCAUGCUGCCGCCGUUUAUAAAACCCAGUGCGUGGUCUCGAUCGUGACAGGAACAACCCUAGCUUAAAGAUUGUUGAGCUAUUAACAAUGGUGUCCAGACCGCCCUGCCGUCCGCCGUCCUGAUCCUCCGGCGUGGCCUUCGCGCUGCUGCUGGCGGCCGGCGCCGUGGCGGGGCUCGGCUUCACCCACGGCCUGAAGCGCUACUUCGACGGGGUGGUGUUCGGCGGCACCGGCGGCUCGCCGGAGGUCGACAGGCUCCACCGCGACGUGGACAGGUUCUUCCACCUCGCCUACGCCUCCGCGGGGCUCAUGCUGGCGGCCGCCACGUGCACCGCGCUCAUAUCAUGCUCUCCGUCUACUCGCUCGUCAAGUGGCGAUGACGAUAGAUGAUGGUGCAUAGCUAUAGGAGGAUUAAUUCGUUUGGUGUUGUGAUUAGAAAUUGCCGUUAAUUUAACCGGAUCGAUCAGCUAUUAUGUCACGAGCAAUUUUGCAAUGCUUGACUUUAAUUUGUUGUAAUCACUUUCUUUAAACACACAUAAUAUUAGAAAGGAAAUAACCACUUUAGGUUAGUACGUACCGCGCAUGAACUAUUCAAUUUGUCUACUUGACCCAUCUAUCUUUACCUAUUAUUAAAGCAAGUAACGCCUCUGCCUGAAUUUUUGUACGUCGUGGUCAUUUUGCAAAAAAACCCCUGAUGUUUUGUGUAAUCAACCCGCAGUCCAUUAUUAUGAAUAGUCUGGGUGUCGGAUUGAAAAAGGAGGAAAGAGAGGGGGUUUAAAGGGAAAAAACUUCUCCUUUCUCCAAUCCAAAACAAGGAGGCGAAGGAGGGGGACGGGGCGCGGGCAGCGGCCGGAGCGGGGUGCCCCACCACGGCCGCGCCGCCCGCCCGUUGCCGAGGCGGCGCCACGCGCCUGCUUGGAGCUCCCCAUCCGCAGCCGCCCGGAUCUCCCCCGCUGAAGCUGCCACCCAGAGCUCGCCAACUGGAGCUUCCCAUCCGCGGCCGCCCGGAUCUCCCCCGCCGCAGCCGCCGCCUGGAGCUCCCCAUAAUACUGAUGCCCGUGCGUUGUCCACACGCGCGCACAAGCGAGAGGAACCGCAGCAGCUUGAAGUGUCGGGACCGGAGCAUGCUGUGGACGUCGGAGCUCGCCGCAUGGCUUGCGCUCGGAGUUACGCGGAGGGAAGCGAAGCCACCGCCACCGCAGCCACACGAGCGGGAGCGCAGCCAUGGUAGAUGCUACGCAUGGUGCUCGCCACCGCAGGUGCCGCGCGUAGUGGUCGCCGCCGCCACUCGAAUCGCACGCAGCUGAAGCCUCGGUCUUGUCGUGCUGUGGCAGAGUGUGCUGCUCGCCUCGGAGCUCGAGUAGCACCAUGUGGUUGUGAACGAACAAGACACCAAAAGAUAAGGACCGUCCUUUUUUUAAUUAGUUUGUGGGUCCCGUAGAAAAUCUAGACCCAAAUUAAAGAACCUAAACACGAAUACGGGGUAAGGUCCAGCGUGGACGAAGAGAAGAGAGAACCAGAGAUAAGGGUGCCUCGCAGUUUGGAUUAUGACGGUGCCGUUGCAUCAAAAAGAGAAAACGGCCAAGUCCUCUUCCUUUCUUUUUCUAUUGCACGUGGGUUCCGCUUUAAAUCCAAACCAUUUCCUAAGCACAGCCAAACCAUGGAUUCGGAUUGGAGUUUUAUUUCCCAAUCCAUAAUCUACUUCUCCGUAUCCCUAUCACAUCCCCCGUCCAAACGUCACCUUAGGAUUUCACAUGAGAUGCUGGAACCGAGUUGUGUUUUGCAUCACGAGUGUCCGAGUUGUGUUUUGCAUCGUGAGUGUCUCGACCGCCCAAUCCAGAUGGAUGGCUACGAGCCAGGUGCGAAGUUAAGCUGCCAUGUCGGGGGAGAUAUUGGGCCAAAAACGGUAAGGCAAACAAUUAAGACUCAAGAGGAGUUGAAGCAGUACGACGGGUCCGACCCUGAGAAGAAGCCACGGCUGAUGGCCAUCAAUGAAUAAUUAUUUCAAUAUAAGGAUAUAUGUUAACAUAAAUGCAAUAAAUAUAUAGUGAUACAAAUAGAAAAAAACAUGAGUUUUAAAAAUACGAUUAUCAUUUCACCGUAGGAACGCUCAGGCAUUUUGAUAUAUAUAAGUGAAAAUAUGUCAUACUAACAUGUUUUUUCCAUAAAGCAAGUAAGGUUUCUGCCCAGUUUUUUUUCAUACGUCAUGGUCAUUUUGCAAAAAAGUUCCUCAAUUUUUAUGGAAUCAACCUGCAGUCCAAAUUCUGAAGAGAGGGGGGCUCAGGUGGAAAAAGGAGGGAAGGGAGGGCGCUAAAGGGCAAAAAGCUUCUCCUUUCUUCAAAAUAGAGAGGCGAAGGAGGGGGAUUGGGCGCGGGUGGCAGCCGGAGCAGGGCACUCUGCCGCUGCCCCUGCAUGCAGCCUCGGCGGCAUUGCCGGCAUGUGGCACGUGAGGAUUUUCACCGCGGAGGCUUAAGUAGUGGUGGCAGUGCUGCGAGCUGCUAUUGCUGCUUGUAGCUGCUCCAGAAAUACAGAAAAGCAGUCCCUUCCCCAACGAUUCUUGUCCAAAUCCAAACAUAAACUUGCAAAUCGUCUUUAUACAAAGAUGUAUCUGGAUCAACGAGCUACAUGUGUUAGAUAGGGCUUUGGUUCCAUAGGAUCGAAAGAUAAAAGUCUCUGAACUUUGGGAAAAACACCGGUUACACUGAACCUUUAGAAUUUGCUCCUGUCAAUUAUCUCCAAAGCACCGAAAGGCUACCUUUUCUCGAGCACAGAUCAUCCAAAUCCAAUAACAAACUCUCCAAGCACCUUUAACCAAACUUGUAGAGGUACUAUAGGGCUGCAAGUUCUAGAUUGGAACUUUGCUCAAAAGAUCUUUGGUUUGGAAGAUUGAGAGCUCUGACUUUCGGUCAGGAACUGAACAUUCCAGUUUCAAAUAAGAAAAAGGUGAAUCAAAAAGACACAACCGAUAGAUACACAAAGAAUAUAGUGUAUUCAGAGGUCCUCACCAAAUAGGUACAACCGAUAUUUGUUAAGGCAUUCAAUAUUCUUGAUGAUGUCACUGUUGUUUGAUAUGUAGUAUUUGCUGAUAUCUUCCUAUACGUUUCAUAUUUGGGUGGUAAUUGUUGUUUCCUUCAUAAUGGUGAUGGAGUAAUGGUCUUUUUUGCCACUCAUUUUUGAUGAAUUGUCUACCGCAUAUUGUGAAGCGAAGCUAACAUAUUAUAAACAAAUGUAUAAUAACGUGAGAGCAAGUAAUGACCCGUAGCAACGCAUGGACAACCAGUAACUGAACAUUCCAGUUUUAGUUUCAGAAAUUUCCAAUGCACUUCUGACAAUCUAAAUAGCCCACCUUUCAAACUUUAAGCUUCAUUUAAAAUACUUGGACACUAUUUCUUGUGAACAACAGCUAGACACUAUAUCUCCUCGUAAACAAAUAAUUAACCAAACACGCAUAGCAAGAAAGCAUCAAACAAUAAAUAUUUUGGUUUAUUGUGUUUGAGAAAUGAAUAAUUAUUUUAGUAUAAGGAUAUAUGUUAACAGAAAUGCAAUAAAUAUAUAGUGAUAGAAAUAGGAAAAAAACCCACGAGUUUUAAAAAUAUGAUUAUCAUUUCACCGUAGCAACGCACGGGCAUUUUGCUAGUCACACUUAAAAAGGAGACCGAAUUCGUACCUCCAACACUAAUUUCCUCAAUGGAAAAAAAAAAGCAAUGCACAAUAUGUAGUGAGCAUGUAAAGAAGUGGAAGAAUGGAUCAACCCCUUCCAUUCAAAUAUUUCUUAUUCAGGUUGACAGUAUGAAAAUUCAUGCCCACAACAAAGCGAUGAAAAUAUAUACGUGUUUUGCAAACAAGACUUAAAUCUGCUAGGAGUAUAAAAGUUCUUUGUCAUGGGAUAUAUUUAUAAAAUUUAUGAAAAUGGAUGAGGGGAUCGGUAACUAAACAUUCAGACACCACAAAAGUUCAAGAUGCCACUAAACCUCCCUUCCCAUAUGUGCUGGAGUAUAAAAACUCGGGCAUAACCUCGUAACAGACUAAAACGUGGAAGAAAAAAAUAAUAUUUAAAGAUAAACCACACACUAGUAGUUAAUAAGCAGCUUAACCAAAGAAUAAUUAUAAAAACAUCAACCACUCAUUGCCAUGGAACCACAAAGGGGUUGCCAUGAUAGUCUAUUCUACGUCUGUUAUAGCAAGACAAAUGCAUCAUUAUUAUUAAAAAAAGAGAGUGUAGGUAAGGCAGUGAUGAGUGCAGCUAAUAACCUCUCUUCUAGCAAAGCAUCCACCACAGAGAAAUUGAAAAAAACCUAAUUUUCAUCGAAUAAUUUACCAAAAAUAAUAAUUGUUCUGUUGAGUUUGAUCCUUUCGUCCCCCCUUGGAAGGUGUGACUCAUCAGUGCAGUAGCGAGGCACAGCCUCUACCCCAUGCGCCAAGCCAUCACAAAAUGUUCCUGUUCAUACCGUUGGUUGCCUUUGUUCUUGUCAUGACACCAUCGAGACCUUGUUCGUGUUCUGCAUGUGCUGCAGCUUGCAGGUGCUGGCUGGCUAGCUAGCAAGCGAUUGCUGGUUGCCUGGCUGGGACUAAUGUGAGAUGAUAGUGUAGUUGUAGGUCGCCAUGACGCCAUGGGUGUGUCGGGUUCUUUAAUUUAACAUUAGUAAAAAAAGAACAACUUGAUCGAGGAGAACAUGUCCAUUGGAGCGUGCAUUCAAUAUUCGUAAGCUAGCUUGCCAAAUAGAUCAGCUUCCCCGCCAACAGAUUCUAGGACCAACAGCUUUUAUGAGCAGCAAGUGAGCAUUUCAGACCAACAACUUUUUAGAAAAGCUCCCGCUCUCCAAACAGGACCUUUUUUAGCACAUAGCGUGAAUAAAUGUUUGCAAAACACGUCCCAUACUAAAAGAUAUGUUGUAAGUUUGGAUGAUUCAACAAUAAAGACCUAUAAGUAAACUUUCUCAUAAAUAUUGACCUAUAAUUUUAUAUUUGGAACCAAAAGUAUAAAAUUAUUCAUGGUGCUUUGCAACAAACUCUAACCUGUUGGUAUGCUAAGGGCUAAGAAGUAAAGGCUGUAUUUGGCAAAAUAUGUGGAACAUGAUGGAAUUUAAUAACUACAUAAAAAUAAAAUUCCAAGGGAACAAUAUUUAGAUGUAAACUAUCGCAGACAUAGAUAAUGUGAACAUAUUUUUUAAACGAUUUUUCACAUGAGAAAUAUUUAAUCAAAUAUUUAAAAGGACAGAAGAAUUUUCACUGAAUUUUACUCUCAAAACUGGGAGAGAGUUUUUUUUAAAAAAAUAAAAGAUAAACUGAAUCUCCAAUUUCUUCUUCAAACGAAGGCUCUACUACGCCUCAAUCGUUUCUUCCCCCAAAUUCCAAAUCUACCAUCCCAAACCCUGAACCCACAAUCCGCGCCGCAAUGCUCCGCCGCCGUCGCGCCCCGCUCCUCCUCACCGCCGCCGCGGCGGGUGUCGCGCUGGCCGCCGCCUCCCCGACCGGCGACAACGGCCGAAGCGUUGCCUCCGCGCUCCAGCACGGCGUCGCCCGCUCCUCCCGCGCCGUCUACACGGUUCGCCCUCAGCGCUAGAUACGGCUCCUCCCCGUUGUUGUUCCUCCUGCGUUCCGAAGGCUACUCUUGCUCAGUUUCCCGGCGGUUGGUUGUCGCAGAUUGGGUUCGUGGUGGCGGAUUACAAGUACUCCCUGAGGGGGCUGGAUUCUGGGUCGGCGGAUUACCGGGUUAAGCUCUCUGAGGUAUGGAUUUGCCCCGGAUGCGAUGGGUGCGUGUAAGCUUGUUGACUACAAUAAUUUUGUUUUGUCAUCAUGUUAUGAUUGUUGUAUGAUUGAUCAGUUAUUUUGAAUGUGGUAGCUAGGUAGGGCUAGAGAUAUUAACUUCAUGGAUCUGGUUGCUGAAGUUGUCUAGUACCAGUGCAUACUUUUUGGAAACAGAAACAUAAUUUAUUUUGAUGUUACGUAAAGUUCACAUUUAGAUAACACCGUCACAUGGUAGCCUUUCUGCGCCUGUCUAAUGGGCCUGUGCAACAUUAGAGGAAUCAACUGGUUCUGGCCUCCUUUGCUAUUUGGAUCACAAACUCAAAAUCUUUCCUUAGUACUUAGUAGCAGACAACAUAAUACAGAUACUUGCUUGAUCUUGAUGUCAGUGACCCUCUAGGACCCAAUUUUAGUUAUUUAUGUGUUCCGCAUAUGCAAUUAAUGUAGCAUUUUAGAACACAAUAGUUCAUACUACUAUUUCCUGACCUCAUUAUUCCACAGAAACCAAGUUGUGCAAUGUGGAUGCUCUGAUACACUUGAAUAGAGACAUUAUGCAGAUUCACCACUCGUUUGAGUUAGCAAGCCAUAGCGUUCUUCUCUUUUACAAUGGCUGUACCCUUUGAUCUAAUAUCUAGUGUUUGUCAUGCAAUUAGUAAUCGCCAGAGUUCACGUAUGAUUAUAGAUCACAUGAAGCCUCAAAUGAUAUGUUUUUCUUUGCUUGAGCGUAGGUUCAUCUGCGUUCAGCGAAAAAGCUACUUAAACUAUGCGAAGUGAAUGGAGGGUUCUAUGUAAAAGCCGGUCAAUAUGUUUCAUCACUAAGACAAGUACCAAAGGAGUACUCCUCAACUCUCUCCAGCCUGCAAGAUCAGGUUCACUAUUAGCUGCUACCUCAAUGAUGGUGUAUACGCAUGUGACUUGGCUUUGUUAUUUACUGUAUUUUUGUCCAACAAUUCAGGCAACUCCAUCCAAGUUUCAUGAUAUAAAAAUGGUCAUAGAGCAGAAUUUUGGCAAGAAAUUGCAUGAAAUGUAAGUAUUUUAUUUCGUGAUUACCCUUUUUAGAUUGGUUGUUUAAUAUCAGUACCUGUAGUCAGAACAGAAUUUUCAUAGGUUGGCUGUUGUGCGUACCAUACUGUAGGUUCUGUAUUCGACUUUGAUCCUUUCAUGCAGCCUGUAUUGAGUGUUUUUGCCAGCUUGUUCCAUGUGUACCAUAUUACUGUUAAAAUUCACAGUAUACCUAAUAAGGGAAAGAUUUGGCUGUUUUUAUCAUUAGUUUGGAUUUUUUGAGUAGUAAAAUGAACCUUUGCGAUAUCCAUUCCAUUAACACCAUUUGAAGGCUUGAAACUGUGAAUGUACAAAGCAUUGCAUUUCAUUUGAUACUUUUAUGUGGUUUUCUGGGGUUUAAAGUGCUUAAUAAUUCAUAAUAGCUUAUGGUGUGGGAAAAAAAUCUUAAGCGUUAAUAUGUGAGUAUCAGAUUCCUGGAAUUUGACGAACAUCCGAUUGCUGCUGCAUCAAUUGCUCAGGUUCAUCGAGGUCGAUUGCAUGACAAUCAAGAUGUAGCUGUCAAGGUGAGAUUCUUGUUAAAUUUUCUCAGUUUCUGUUCCUUUUUUGUAAAGGUAUACUUUUGUGUCAAGGAAUAUAUCACCAUUCUGGUUGCUAGCAGUUAUAAAAGAGCUGACAACAGAAAUUUCACAAACAUGUUACCGACAUAUCCACCAUCCAAUUCUCUUGUUUUAUACUAUGACCUACCAAAUUAAUCUGGGCGGAUACAAUAUGGCUACCCUUGUUUUAGAAAGGUGGGCAUUUGUGUAAUAGCUUUUCACUUUUACCCUUAGAAUAGGUUUCAUUCUUUAGUUAUUGACCAAUUUUAUGAUGUGCAUUGUAAAAGUUUGGGUCAUGAUGUUUCAUAAAGACCAGAAGUAAACUAGAAAUCAGUAUCCCUUUAAAUGGGUAAUAAUCGUUACCUUUAGGCACAAUUUAACGGAGUAUUCCUCUAAAAAAUUUAAUGGAGUAAAACUUGUUUCAAAUUGAAGCAGCUGAGCGCCUGAAUACUUCAUCAGAAUGGCUGAGUCAAAAAUUCUUCAAAGACAUUUUAAGUAUAAAUGAAUAGCUAACUUGACCCAUAUGCUCAAUUCUCUCUUGUACGUAUGUUUGACCUAACAUUGAAUGAAGUAUAGAAUUGUUAGUAACAAGAUAUAACUGCAUAUCUUGUUCUUUUCAUAUUGAUAGUUUUAGUUUUGCUGUGAGCACAACAGCAUAACAUAGUUUGUUCGGAGUAUAGAAAAAACUUGCAGAAGAUAUUCUUUAACCUAUGCAUAGAUUCACUCUCAUUCUGCCAUAUAUACAUGCAAAUUUUCUUGAGUUAGUGUUAUAUGUAUUAACAUAGUACUGAGCUUUCGUACAAACCUUGGUGACAUCUAGGUCCAGUAUCCUGGAUUGGAGCAGCGAAUGAAGAUAGACAUCAUGACAAUGUCUUUCUUGUCAAAAUCAGUCUCUUGGGUAUGUUAAAUACAGCAAAUCUCUGUUUUCCUUUUAUCAUGCAAAUAUUUUACCAGCUGUUGCAUGUAAUUCAUCUUAUAUGCUAAAAUAAUUUUACACUUUGACUACAACGUACUUUAAGAAAAGCAGUAUUCAUUGACUGGUUGUUCGGGUAACAUCUUUUGUGCAUUUAAGAUUUAGAUAAAGGAAAACCCUAGUCCUACUACUUCUGUGUGGCAGCAUUAAUGAAAGAAGUUGAUGCAAUUCUAAGCAAGACUUUAUUUGUUCUUAAUGAAUAGAUGCUGGCAUUAUUUAAUGUUGUGGGUGGGUGCAUUAGCCUUUUAGAUGGCAGUUGCCACAUCCAAAUAGAUUGUGAUUCAGCGAACAGCCUUGGACCUGUCAUUUUGUCCUCCACUGUGGUCACUGUUCUAAUUUGAAUUUUCUAAAAACAUAUUUCUGUGGUUCUUAUAGUUAAUUGGAUUUUGUUGACACUUUGGCAUGCACCAUCACUGAGCUUUAAUCAGUCGGAUGAAUUGAUAGCACACAAUCCAAUCUGCACGGAGUAUCUUCGCACGAUAAAAUCAGUGCACCGCACACAAUCAAUGUACUCAUCUUCUACUGAUGCACAUAUAAUUGUUGGCAAAUACUUUAUCCUUGCGUAGCAGUUGCCAUGAUUGGACAGACUGGUAUUAGUAGCAAUUGGUCACGCGCAUGGUACUCCACUGUGGUGAUCUUUUUAUCUUUUUUUGGACUAACAUGUUUCAAUGAUCCUUAUGGCAAACUGAUUUCUGUUGAUUUAAAGUCUGAUGUGCCACGGUGCCUUACAAUCAAGACAUUGAUUGCAAUGUGUAGUUUGUUGCUAGUACCUCAUUAAAUGCAUUGACCAUAUAUCUCAUGAAUGGAAGUGGCCAUAAAUCUAUUUCCUUUGAGCAGCCAGGACCUACUGAGUACUGGUGGUACCCACUGUUCCAUCAUUGUAUCCUCUGCUGUGGUCAUAUUUAUUGUUGUAACUUUAGGAUAUGCUUUCAUGAUUCUAAACAUGCAUGAAAUUUUGUUGGUAACCUUUACGUGUAUCACUCUCUGUUCUAAUAUAAUUUAUUGUUUGUCACAAUCAAAAUUAUGUUUUUCAUGUCUGCAGAUUUUUCCUGAUUAUAAAUUUGACAGAAUACUAGUUGAAUUUGAGAAAUCCAUGUCAAUGGAGCUUGGUAAGUGCAUUCAUGUUCCUUUAUUGUAAACUGUAUAUAACUCUUAUUUAGAUAAAUGAUUUCUGAGAAAUCUUCUAUUUAGUAUAUCUAUUUGAUUAUUUUCUUUCAUAUAUUCUGGAGGCACUACCAAAAGACAUUUAUUUAUUUUCCUUGAACCAUGAUUUUGCAUAUGUCAGUGCUCAUUUCUGUUGCCUAGCUUUUAUAUAAUCCUUUCAGAAAAUAAAAGUAAAAUUCCUGUAAUUUUUGCACGAUGAGUUUCAAAGUUGAACUAUGUCCCUAUUUUUCAUGCACUUAUUUAUGCUCUUGGAUUGAGCUUUGUUGUUUUGUGGCAUUUCAUUUAGAUCAUUUGUUGAAAUUCUCAUUAUCUCUGUCUGAUCUUCUAACAUUCACUUAGUAUAUUAUUUUGUAUUGUUGAAGUCACUGUUCCUCGUUCAUUUACAGAUUUUACCCUAGAGGCUAAGAAUUCCGAGAGAACAGCCAACUGCUUCAGGAAAAAUAGUGUUGUUAAAGUGCCUUAUGUGUUCUGGGUACGAGCCUUAAAAAACUUAAUAAGUUUGCUGUGGUAUUUUUGGAAGAAUAAACAAUUUUUGUGUGCUAUGUUGCGUAAGGCAUACCUUAUCCCACCACACGCACAUCACAAACAGUCAAAAAGAACAUGAACCAGUACUAGACUGUCAGGGGUGUUAUGUAUGCUUACAUAUUUAAAAUUGACUAUUAUGUGAACUAUUUAGAUUUAUGUAAGGUAAUUUGUGACAAUAGUUAAUCCUGUUGCAGCAAUUGACAACCAGAGAGGUUUUGACGAUGGAAUUUUGUUAUGGACACAAGGUAAAUAAUUAAUCCUUAGGCUUUAUUUAUACAAAGAUUCUAUUUGCGCAUCUUUAUCUAUCAGUGGGUUUGCUGUGGAAUUUCGAUGAUUUCAUUAUGGAAUCUCUAGGUUUAUACAAACACUUUUCGAAAAAUGUGAAAACCACGCAUACUCUUUUACUUACUCUAAAAUAAUGGAAAAGAAAUUAGUCAAUUACUAAUAAGGAGAAGUACCAUUGACCCCUGGGGUUCUUAUGUUUUGACAGGUUAAUGACUUGGACUUCCUGAGGAGAGCAAAUAUUAGUCCAACAAAGGUUCGCAGCUGUAUUGUGACAUUAAUAUAUUUUCAAUCAUAAGUGACUUCAUUGAAGGCUUUCUUGUACAUAUACACAUUACAAAUGUGACAAAAAUGCUACAGAACUUGCUAGAUUCAGGUUUUCCAAAAGCUGCUCAGCCUUCAUUAAGUUUGUUAAGUUCACAUGACAGCUGGUUCAAAAAAAAAUAGACUUGAACUGCUGAAGGGAGGACGGGCAAAUACACUUCUACACUCUCCCACUAAGCUCUCUCAGGCCUUUGGCAUAGACUAGAAGUGGUCUGCAAUUGUUCCUUUUAUGAAAAUUGUGUUUAAUGUUAACUCAGAAUCUCUUCUCUAGUACCAUGUCAAGUUUCAUACUUUCAUGCAUCAAGUAACCCAAAAACUUAAGUUGUUGAGGAAAGGUGUAUCUGUGUGCAAAUAUAAGAAAUGAAAUAUAAUUUAUUACAUUAUCUAGUUGUUCUGUGUCCUCAUUGUCAUGUACUUCAGCCAGAAUUUGUACAGUAUUGAUAUCGGUACCAAUACGCUCCUUGUGAUUGUAAGUGAAAGCAAGAUUGGCUUGGGAUAAUAGAUUGAUUAUGGUGCAAAGCACAGGUACAGAUUAUAUAGGCAAGGAUGUCCUAGGGUUUAUAGUAACACCCAAUCAACGGAGAUCCUUGCCUAAUCUAAUGACCUAGGCAAUCAAGCCAUCCCAGGGAAGGGGUAGGCGCACGGCCAAAGGCCCGUGCGGCACCCUGCCCAACAGCCCAAAGGGCUGGCCUAAACACAUUGUCUAACAGUAAGUUGUAGUGCAUUUUGCUUUACCACUUAUUCACUUUGUGUGUUUAGAACCGGAUACGGAUUUUUCAUCAUUGAGUUAUUAUGGUACAAAAAAGUGUUUAUUUUGUAUUCAUGUACACGAACACACAUAACACUUGUUAAUCAAAUGCAUAUAGUCACCAAUCAGGGUUGUAUUUCCUGAAAGCAUGAUACCAUUUGGAGUUAUGAAUCAUGCACCAUAAUGGGUUCUUAUAUAUGGUCGUAUAUUUCUAUACCUUAAUGCUAAACUAUUUUCUCUUUGUACUUAGCAGAGUUUGGUUCACCUGCCUCUAUUGCAAGUUUCAUUUUCUCAUGCAUGUUGUAUUUACCUUCCAGGUAGCUAAGGCUUUGAUUGAACUGUUUGGUGAAAUGGUAUUUGUACAUGGUUUUGUCCAUGGUGAUCCACAUCCUGGAAAUAUAUUAGUUUGUCCUCAAGGCAAUGGAAAAUUUUCACUAGGUACUCAUUUCUUGAACAUAGUAUUUUUCUAGUUGUCCAUAAUCACAACGCAAGCAUAACUGUACAUCUUGCGAAGAGUAGUAACGUAAUAAUACAUUAAUUGUAGAAUCUCAGUACCAACUAUCACAUUCCAGCUCUUCAGGAAUGAACACAUGAAACUCACUUCAAAUUUUUGUUUUCACUGUGGAUUCCUUGUCCAUCUAACGUCUCCAGAAUGGCCAAAUCAACCAUGAUUCUGGAACAAACUGGUCGAUUCGUAAAUAUGAGAUAUCCAAAUAUUAAAUAUAUGUUUUCUUGAUUGGAUUGUCUCUGAUGGGUGAAUCUUUAUCACUUACACUUGAAUGUUAGUAAAAUGUUAUGAGUUGAUUUUUAACUCGAUUAUGCAAGCCAAAAUUUAAACUGGCAUGUGUGUUUUGCUCCCUUUGUUGUCCUUACAGUCUUGUUGGUACACAUGUAACUAGUUUCAGAAACCUCUAUAUUAACAGUAGACUACAACACAAAAACUGGACAUAAAUGCAUCUUAAUCGAACUCUGAUAAUUUUAUGUUCCAUCCUUUUUUCUUAUGUUUGUCUUCAUUCAUUGACAAUAGUGAUAAGUCUGAACCUGUAGAUGGUCAAAGCGACCCAUUUAAAUAAACCUCUUUGUGUUGACAAACUACAUAUUUCAACUGUAUAGAGUCUGGGGACUCUUCUUCAAUCCCUAGUGACCACAGAUGACAUCCUUUGCGAUGAGCCUUUGUUGUUCGUGGAUCAGGGCUCCUAUUUAGAUCUUGAUCAAAACCUUUCAAUUCUUUAUAUGAUGGAGGGCGAUGGGACAUUAAGGCUCCCAGAAAACAGCAAGCAUUUGUUCUUGUUGGAGCUUCUUGAUCUACACGGGAUGAGAUCUUUUUAAUGGGAUUGGAGGGAGCUAAUCAGACUCAAACAUUGUAUGGAAUGUGAGUUGGCCACUUUGAUCUUGUAGAAUGAUUACAUCUAAAAGUGGGUAUGGCUUUUGCAGUUCUGUUGGAUCAUGGAAUUUAUAGAGAACUGGAUCAAAAAUUCAGAUUGGACUAUUGUCAGCUGUGGAAAGCAUUGAUACUGUUGGAUACAAAAACAAUUCUGGAGUUAGGCGAGCAGUUCGGUGUUGGCAAAUAUGCAAAGUACUUUCCUGUAAUAUUCACAGGCAGAACCCUGGAAAGGUAAGAUUCCGUUCUUUCAGAUAUAUACCAUGAUGCACUAGUUAUCAUUGAGCAAUAAAUAUUAGAAAUGAUAUCAUCAGCAUUCAUAGAACAUCUUUCUUGGGACAGGAAAAAUAUUGAUAGGGCAUCAUGGGACGAGCUUAUGACUUAUCCCAAUUCCCAAGUUCAUGCACAUAUUAUUUUUAAUAAUCAAUUUCUUAAGCGGUGUUUAAAGUUUAAACUGAGCAGAGAGUUAAAUCCAAUAUGAAAAGUAACUAAAAGAUUGCAUGAAGGAAAACUUUAAAUUUCAUAUCGUUUAUAUACUUUAUUAAUCAUUGUACGUGAAUGAAUCCUCAAUUGUCUGUUCGUUUUACUUCAAGCAUUCAACUUGAAACUACACAGGUAGGAGAACUAUUUUGAACCAUAAAAUUUGCAUAAUUUUGAUGUGUGAAAUUAAUGUAUAUGGGGCAAUAUUACUUUGUGUAUCAUGGUGGGACCCAUCAGUUAACAUUUGAAUCACGUCAUAUAACCGUACUAUAUAGAGUACAAUCAGUAUGCCUUGUGUGCUUGGAGUUGAUGCCAUAAUAUACCUUGUUAAACUAUAUCUGUAUCUAUAAUGAUCAGCAAAUCAGCUCUUGGCACACAAAUGUCUAGUGAAGAGCAGAGGCGUUUAAAGGAGGACUUGAGCUCUCUGGGAAUGGAUGAUAUAUCUUCAUUUAUGGAAGCCUUGCCACGGGACUUUUAUGUCAUACUGCGAACAGAGUAUGAAACUUUUUUGUCAGAGCACAUCAGCAUGUUGUUGUUGUCACCUUCAUUCUUGCAGCUUAUAAAUGUUUUAUCUCGAUUUCAGUGGACUAUUGAGGUCCAUUUUGGGGAAUCUUGGGGCGCCACGCCAUGUUCGGCUUCUCACUUAUGCAAAAUGUGCUAUACAUGGGCUCGAGAAACAGCCCAAACUGGAGUCUGGUAUGUCGAAGUCAACUAAACUAAGAUUUACUCCUGUUAUCAUCAUCCUGUCCUAGCUAGCCUAAUGUCUUGGAGCUCUUCUAUUGCAUUCAGGUGCAAUUAACCGGAUGUUCUUGCAAGUCAAAACAAAUAUCAGCUAUCUCCAUCUGAGGGUACUUAUUGGUAAGGACACUAUCACCAUCCUGAUGUUUUGACUUCAAUGUCUAAUCCUGCUUGCUACCUAAACUUCCUCAGAAAUAGCGGGAUUGUUAGCAAAAGUAAAUGAUGCAAGGCACAAGGCCGUGAGCAAGCUCAGACAGAUGUUUCGGGAGAUCAGUCAAGGCCUUCAUCUCCUUACAUAAUGCCCUGAAGUGUGUCAAUGGUGGUGGAGGAAGUAUGCAGGAGUCAAAUCAUAACUGCAAUUGCGGAUUGGAUGUGUAUCUUGUAUGAUUAAAUCAUACGUCUGUUGUAACAUCGGGGCAGUGUUUUGCCAAUACUGUGGGCCCUGUACAUGUCAGCUCAGGCAGCAAGGAAUUGUAUUAUGAUUGAAUGCUGUCGUAAGAACCAAAAGGUUGCCACAGAAGUUGUACAUUAGGGCAAGAGCAAUGUUUAUAGACCAAGUAAUCUUUAUGGGUGGGACCCAUUGAAGUGGGCUUUAAGCUAUUCUGUAUCACCACAAUCCUGAGCCUGGAUGGAUUCUAACGUGAGGCCCACUAGCAAAUAAAAAAAUGCAUCCAGGGCUUCAAGCUCAACCAGCCGACGCCCCUCCUCUUCCGUUCCCCUCUCCGUGCUUCCUCCCUCCGCACCUUCGCCGUCGCCCAUUCCUCCCUACGCCGUCGUUGCUCCACCUUCUCUCCAACCCAGAUCGACCUUUCUCUGCCAGGAUUGAGCCCCAGGCACCACAAAUCGGCCUCAAAUCGGCCUCCCUCUGGUUCGAUCGAGCCUAACCUUGGAUCGAGCCCUAAGGGCUAUUUUGGGAACCCCAAUCUCAGCGGGGAUCCCGGCCUUUUCCUCGGGCUGGAAGUCCGCGCGGAAAUUGGUCACAGGCUGAAAUCCCCUGCUGUUUGGAAGCCCACGCCAUGGGGCUGCGGCAACCCAACCCUCGUGUUUUCCCCGGGCAGCAUUCCACUAUCUCGUCGUCGCGAGGCCAGCAGCUAGCGUCUAGGCGCCACCGCUCCACCUCCCCGUUCGGGCGCUUUCUCUCCGAUCCCCGUUUAGGCGCUGCUGCUCCACCUCCCCAUCCAGGUGCCACCACUCCAUCUCCCCGUCAAGGUGCCGCCGCUCCGUCUCCCCAUCACUACCUGCAACGACACCUCCACCUCUACCUCGGCCACUGUCACACCCGGUUUGAAAACAAAACCAAGUGUUACCUAUAUGUAUGUCAGGAUCUAGUUUCAUACAUAUAGUGACAUCAUUAGUGAAUAAAAGUAACAGUAUCACGUAAAGGAAUAUAAAUAAAGACUUACGAGUCUAUCAGAAAUAUACAGCUUGGAAACGAAGGCUCCAAACUUCAGAGGCAAUUGACUAGGGGCUGCGUACGCCUAGAACUUAGCAUCAUCUUUAGAAAACUUCACACACCUUCCUCUUCUAAGCAGCAGCAAGCAAGGAUGAGUACAAUUAUGGUUGGUACUCAGCAAGGCCACAAGAAAUAACCAUAAUAACGAUUUAAGUUCAUCUUCAAGUUUAUUAAUCAUGUGAGGGUCCAGACCGCUCUUGACCGUAAGCAUGGCUGAUAUAUCAGUUUUACACUCUGCAGAGGUUGUACACUUUCACCACAAGUCGCGUAAAAGUUCAGAAUAACUUUAGACCCAACCAUGUUGUGCUGAUCAGGCACUCAUCACACUACUGAGGUGUGACUGCAUAGGGACGCUACGAGGCCUUUAUAAAGAUUCGCUAGUAAGUGGUAACCCGCUAAGGUUUCAGGUCGAAGCAGAGCAUAAACCUCUCUCAAGGCCGCGAAGCUAUCAUAGAGCACAUCAGCCUGAGGGCCAUGUUAUACCACAUCAACGCCUCCCCUCUUACCCUUUCGGUAAGAUUACCCCAGACUAGAGUCUCUAAUUAAUUAGCUAAGACCAGAGCUAUGUAGUUCUUAUGGUUGCACUAUUUUCCUAGGUAGUCGCUCCAUGUUCCAAUUAACAUUAUCAUGGUAUUAUAAAUAAGCAUAGACAGAAGGGUAGUUAGGGACACUUACCUUUCUGCAAUGAAAAUUUACUCUUACUACUCUUCAACUCUUGCUCUCUUGAAACUCUUAAUAUUCAAAUCUUUCGAGCAACGAUCCUUCUACUCGAAGCAAUCAUCAGCACAAGCAUACAAAACAACAAACAAGUAAAACUAAGAACAAUACACCGGUCAAAGAAAAGUUUUAAAAGAGCAUACUAAAGCUUUAAAAGAGUGUAUGAAAGGAUAGGGCUCAAUUCUAGGUUCACGCAAACGCUGAGAAUGGAACUAUGGUCGACAAGGCAAAACUAUCAAGAGGUUUGAUUUAUAAAAGAAAUAAAAAAGACUGUAUGCUUGAUCCAUUUUAAUUAAAUAAAACAUGCACAUAUGUUAUUUCAUAGAAAUACCCUACAUGGAAUUAAGCAAGUUAUAUUUAAUCAUUGAAAACACGAUAAACUUAAUCAUAUUUUAUUUGUAAAUAUUCAGGUACAAGUUAUGCCAAUUUAACAAUUAACUUUAGAAACUCAGAGCAUGUAUAAGACAUCUAAUCGAAUAACUUUGUAUUUCGGGUUCAACUAAACAUGUUAAUGUGGAAAAGGCAUUUGUAAUAUUAUUAAGUAUAUUAACUUUAUUUAUGAAAACCGAUGUAUAACACUAGAUAUCUUUUAUUUAGAAAAGCUAGUUAUAAAUAAGAAUUAACUAAUUAAAUCUUAAUUUUUGAAAAUCGGGAUAGAACCUAAUCAAUUUUUAUUUAGAAAACUAAUUGUUUUUAUUUAGAAAACUAAUUGGAUAGUCAAGUUCACAUUUAACUUUGAUGUUAAAAACAAGCAACAGGUAAUACACACUGCUAACGAAUAAGGUGAAACGAGCUAGAACAGCAAAAACAGACUAUUCCAGAGCGUAGAAUAAAAGCGUAAACUAUGGUUUAGGAAAGACUAGCCUACAAAGAGAGCAACUAGGUUGCAGGGAUAACAAACUAAUCAAAGCUAAACUGAACUAGUCGGCAAAGAAACAACUAACAAGAUUGACUCUAAAGAGAUGGCUGCAAAAGGUUUGGCCAUAAAGAACAUAGCUGACUCACAAAGAGACAACUAGGAUAUAAGAUAGCUAUGAACUGGAUAUUGGAUUGUAAGAGAAACAGGGACAAGCAUGAUCAGACUACUAGGCAGAACACAAACUCUAAGAUAAACUAUUGAGCUCACUAAGCACAAAAAUCGUGCUUUGAAAAAGAAAGGCUUGGUUAGAUUUAUGAAAGAGACUGGAUCUGAGAUGAAACUGGAAUUGGAAAGAUCUAAAGCUUUACAGAAGACUAGAUCUUCAAAAGAGAUAUAGAGCUAAAGCUGACAAAGAACCGCUAUCGAACAAUGAGCACGAAAGACUAUAUGCUAGGUUUAUUUUAAUUAGAAAAAUAUAUGUAAAGGGUUGGAAUUAAUGCAAAUUAUACUUUAUUUACAAAGAUCGAUGUAAACCCUAUUUACUUAAAUUCUCAUUAAGAAAAGGCAUUCAAAUAGACAUUAAUCAAAUUAAUAUUAAAUUUAUUAAAAAUAUGCAUGAUAGAAAAUAUCACCACUAUCGUAUAAUUUAUAUUAUCAUGAACCUAACGCAACUUGAACGGAUUAAAACGGAUCUAAAACAUAAUUCUAUGAGCUAAACAAGAUUGGAAGGACCUAGAUGUGAUUAACUAUAGAUGACAGGGGCUAGAUUGAAAUAUUUUGCGAGACACAACUAACAGUGCUCACAAAUUGGUCAAAGCUCAGGGUUAGAUCUGCAAAAGUUCAUAGCUUGGGUUCGGUUGAAAAGAUCUAAUCUCUACAGGGGGUUAUUUGUAGAUUUGCCAAGACACAAAGAUCUUUGAACAAAUUACAGAGGUAUUCAGGGGCCAAAACGCAAAAGGGGGACCUUCUUCUUCCUCUCGUCGGGGCCUGACGGUGACCCUCGCCGGCGCUACGGGCAGCCGGGGUCCCCGGCGGGCGGCGCAGGAGGUGGAGGAGGUGCAGGGGAUCCUGGGGAGGUGCUCACCGGGGUUGAAGGCUCAUGGAGCCGGCCGGAAAUUGUAGGCGGGCGUUGACCGGCGGCGGCGGCUCGGGCUCCAAGCGGUGGGGCUCCUCCGGCGGCGAAGCAGGGAUGCCGAACAGCGUCGGGUGCACGUCCGGGCGUCGCGAAGCUCGUAGCGUCCUCCUCUUGCUCCGACGGGCGGCUGUCGUGACGAAUCAGCUGGCCGGCGCCGUUGCUCUGCUUCGGGCGGCGGCGCAUGGCGCGGCGCUAGAGGCGGCUAGGCGGUGAGGCGGCGGCGGGCGAGGACGGCAGGCGCAAGGGCUCGGGCGCUCGCCCUUUACAUGGCUGCGCGGAGCCCUAGGGUGGCGCGCACGCCGAGGAAGGGGCCGGCGGCGGCCAUGGCCGAGCUAGGCCCGGGGAGCGGCGGUGUCAGCCUAGAUGGGCCUAGGAGGGCCGGUCGCUGGGCCAGAGCGGGUCGAGUCCACGGGCUCGGCCCAAAAAAAAGAUAGGAUAAGAUUAUUUUCAGAAAUAGUUUCCUGUGUAAAUAAAAAUCCAGAAAAUCUAGAUAAUUUAUUUAAGCCACGAAAAAUACUCUGAAAAUUCUAAACAUUCCAGAAAAAUUCCUUGAGAUAGUUUGGGAUACGAGGAGUCCAAACAAAAUACUUAGAGCCCGUGAAAAGGAUUCUAGAGCCUUCCAAAAAUUGGAUUUAGCUCUUAGAAAAUGAGAAUAAAUUUCAAGAAAUUCUGGAAAAUUCUUAGAAGAACUUAAUUAUCGUCUGAACGCAUUGUUGAAACUUUUGCACUCAUGAAACAUCAGAAUGCAUUGGCAUAAAUGCACACACAAAGAACAACUUUAUUUAAUUCAGAAAAAUAACCAAUUAUUUUUCCUAUACUAAAUUCCCUGUAAAGAAAAUAAAUGUUAGAAAAAAUUCAAAAUUAUGAGAAAAUUAUUUUUUAAUCAUUUCUUUUUAAUCACAUCCUGAAAUUCAAAAAUUUCAAGGUGUGACAGCCGCGUUCUCCGCAUCAACCAUGGUGUCUCCACCUUAUCUUCCUCCUCGGCAUAUGUGUGUUCUCCUUCCUCAUCUCCUGUUGUCUAUGUUUUAUACUCAUGAUGUGAGUUCUUGUAGUUAACAUCUCGAUUCACCUAUCCAAGAUCCUGUCCUACAAGGUACCGAACCCACAUAGCAAGGGUCCCUGUGUAAGGAACAAAGAAGUGCUUGAGUUCCUGACACCUUGGUAUCUAUUUCGUGGUAGAUGCUUAUGUACUGGAGCAUGUAGUACUUCUAGCACACCUCUAGCUGCCUUAAUAGCAUAGAUGAUUCCCAUGUUCAUGUGUGAUGCAUAUAACUUGUGGAAACAGAAAACUGCAAUCCGUGAAAAUUUGCAUAGGUGAAUAAAGAAUAAAAAAGAGAAAGUAUUGGUUUAGUCAGGAAGGCUAGCAAGUAGAAUUUCCAACACCCAGCACUGUUUCAUGUUUUGAUAUGUUGCAUACCGGACUAAACAAAGAGAAAGGUCAAAAAUUGCUAGAUAUGCAGUUAUGUACUAGCAAAAAAAUAAAGAAGAAAAAACAUUAGAGAUUAUCCAGAUGUCAUAUCUCUGGAUGCAUAUUUAUGCUUUACCUAAGAAAUUUUUCCGUGCUUCAUUAUCAGUUCUUUGGUUCCUUUCGGAUGGGAUGCAAAUUGGCUAGUACCACCCCUGUUAGUUAGCGGUUAAUUACUAGUUUUAUGUAGUGCUGAACAUGGAACAAGAGGCUGGUAAAGUGCUUAUGAUAUAGUGAACCAUGAUUUGUUUGGUCGCGCAUCAUCAUUAUAUAUAGUGAAGAAAUAUCUCAUCCUCAAAUCCACCCUUUUGUAAUGUCAAUAUUUAUACAUGUGACAUUACGCCAUAGGCAUAUGAAAAUGUGUCUGAUUUAGUUUUCUCACCACGAGGAAGCAGCCUGAGUAGCUCUGUACUGCAGUUCUGAGUGCAUCUUUCUGCAGAAAUGUUGAAAUGCAGAAAUGCUAGUCACCUUUAAACUAGGACCAACACGUUGCAUUUCCCACUGCUGAUGCUGCCCUGUCUGAUCAUUACCUCAACAGAGUCAUAUAGCUUCUUGAUUGCCCCAUAACAAUAUUGUUAAAUACAAGGCAUAAGGACAGCCAUUUGUGUACCCUUUCUCAGUUAAUGCUAUUUUGAUAUUUCAUACAUAUGAGACAGCAAAUAUGAUUGGCCGCCCAUGUUAACAUCUACUAUGCCCUAUUACUUACCUCCUGAACCAGAGCUCUAUCUUCUAUGAAACCAGCCUGAUCUUGAAUAUUCAGUUACCAGUAGGAAUUGGUUAGUCAUCACAUUCCAUACAUUAGCUUGUCCAUAUUGCUUACUGUUGAUCUAACUGCAGAUCUCAAUGAUCCACUCUUGCAGAGGAUCCGGCUAACAAGCUUGUCAUAUGGAGUUGAUCAUGUGCCACAUAUUAGUUUGGUUUAACUCUAGCAUGAACUUCACUCUCCUGCCUUAUUCUAUAUCAAAUUCUUGUGGAUGUAAUGGAUGAGAGGACUUUAAUUUGAAUAUUUGUGCAAAUUUUAGGUAUUUAUCACAAAAUGUUGAUACAGAUAAUGUAAUUAUUUCUUAUGUUGUGGUUAACGGUGUGCAUUGUUGGUUUAAAAAUUCAGAACACAUGAUGAAAUUUGGUAGCUACCAAAGGAGUACUCGUGUACAUGUAAAUUUUAUUAUGUGUGUGCAACAGUAGUCAAACGGAGCAUGUAUGACCCGCUGGGUCUGCCCCUCGCCACCUCCCAUCUCCAAACAGCAACGGGUGGUGGGGGAAGCCUGGGGAAGCGCCACCUAGGGAAUCCAUUGGCCAGUGAAAUCCCCUCCGUGGCUUCCCUUCCACGGGCUAAUCUGCCACCAGCUCCCAAACUAAGCUCACGUGUCCCAAUCGGUCGGGUCUCGAUGGGCAUGCUCUUCCUCCCUCCCAUGGCGCCGCCGUCGAUUCCAUCCAGGUGGUAGAUAACGGGACCUGCCAGGGGGAGGACGAGUGGUGGCUGCGAUGAGAGAAGACCACGGGCAGGUUGCACGGUGCGCCGCCAUGGUAGCUCCUCAACCUUUCUUCUCCGACCGUCUCGUCGCCAACCAUGGCAGCUACUUCUAACUUUCGUGUCCUCCCGACGUGGCACCGCAUCACGUGGUGGAGCGUAUCUCUUCAUCGAGCUCCAGUUGGUGGUGGGAGCACGGAGCAGCAACAACAUCGUUGCGGGAGGGGGAGAGAGUGACGAGGAGAGAUAAUAUAUUAUUUUAUUCUUAUGGAUGGGCUAUAUGCUUAUGAGUACCCAUAAGCUACGGACCACUAUAAAGACCGCUCCCACAACAAUGAGCCGGACCAUGUAGGUCUAUAAAGACCACUUUUCCUUGACUGCCCUCGUUACAUCUAGGUGCUAUGGCAUGUGAUAAAUGUAUUGAAAAAUGCACAAAACGUGCUGAUAAUUUGGUAUGGUGAUGAUUAACGAAUUUUGAUUUGAUUCCGGAUCGUUGACUUGAAUGAUCCUACAAAAUUUUGGCCCGUCUCAAUAGCGAAAAACGCAAGAUUGAUUAGUUUGAUUGCUGUACAUUGCAUGAAACACUGAACCACAUUGAUUAAUUUGAUUACUGUACAUUGCAUGAAACACUGAACCACAAAUAACAAAGGCAUUAGCUGUAGCUUAAGCUGCUCUAGAUUGCCAGGCCUUAGCCAUCUUCUUCCCUAGGUAUUGAGCAGCAACAGCACCACCAGAGGCGAGCAGCCCAGAUACCGCUUGACGUACGCUUGAAACCAUGACGCGACGCCUCAGGGCCCUUCGCACACAGUUUGCUGCCAUUUCCUUUGAAG
This 87020-nucleotide long non-coding RNA is filed under the name Setaria italica (foxtail millet). RNAcentral describes it as "long non-coding RNA (SITA_LNC006028)". The record is from RNAcentral. Lineage: Eukaryota; Viridiplantae; Streptophyta; Magnoliopsida; Poales; Poaceae.